Molecule: long non-coding RNA, 61285 nt
Filed under: Nicotiana benthamiana
Lineage: Eukaryota; Viridiplantae; Streptophyta; Magnoliopsida; Solanales; Solanaceae
Source: RNAcentral
CCGCUCCCAGACCUUCAUGGUAUGACUUAUUAAUUUGAUACCCCUAUAGUUGUUGCAGCACUGGAUGUCACCUUUGUUAUUGUACAAGGGCACCACUGUACUCCACCUCCACUCAUUCGACAUCCUUUUGGUCCUGAAGAUCGCAUUGAACAACCUGGAAAGUCACUCCACUCCUGACCUACCCAUGCAUUUCCAGAACUCCACCGGGAUCUCGUCAGGCCCGGUCGAGUGUAGUGACAAAUGUAGCUCAUAAUUUGAUCUACAGUGCAGGUUUAAAUCCAAGGUGUAGCUUUUUUUGCAUUUUUUAAACAAAAUUCUCCAAAUAAACAAAAGAAACACAGUACCUGAGCAAUCAGGGGAGGCAUUUCUAGUAUGUUUUUAGCACCAGGAAUGUCAUAAACAAGCUUGCCAAGUGUAACAGGAUCAGGCUUAGUAAUAUCACCAAUGUCUUCUAUACUACAAUUUGCUUCUGCCUCAACAUAAACUGCCCCUUCUCCACUGCAGUUAACUAUAAGUUUCCCUUCUUGUUCUUCUAUGCUACAAUUUGCUUCUGCCUCAACAUAAACUGCCCCUUCUCCACUGCAGUUAACUAUAAGUUUCCCUUCUUGGCUGAUUGUCAAUCUCCCUGCAAGUGGAUAGUAAUGAACAAGAACCUUUGAUAAAGCUUCCUUGAUCACUUCAACAGCAUCCUCAUUUCCUUUUUCCUCUGAUUUGAAGCAGUAAAUUGUUCGGACGGGGACGGCUAUGUUCUGAUCAAGAUUUGAAAGGUAAUAUAGUCCCUUGUCUGUUUCCUCUGCUGGAGAAACCAAAGUCGGUUCUCCUUGCUUCACAAUGAGCUCAACAGCAACAUGGUUUUUACCAUUCUCCAUUUGGCAAGUUCAAAAAUCCUGUAUAAAAUAAAAAGAAAAUAACGUUAAAGGUAUUUUAAGUGGCAUGGCAUGAAACCAUUAGUAGAGAAUAAAGUGUAUCAAAAAAUAAAAAGUACCUAUGAGACAGGAAUUUGCAAUUAAUGUUCUGAUUUUGAGACUUAGAAUGGUGUACUUGUUGGUGUGGAGAUAGAUGAAUACUGGAAAUAUUUAUAUAGCAAAUGCAUGAGUAGAAUAAUUGGCUAUUUGUUGAGUAUUGGUUAACAAAGAUGUACUACUGAAAAGGACUGCAGGAGCUGUUUUUAUAUUUAAAGCUAUUCAUAAGCUGUCUUAAUGGUGGAGGAGAAGACUAACCCCAAAAAAAUGUAGUUCUAAUUUUAUUUUUAUUUUAUUUUUGAAGUGUUUGCUUUGAAAAAUGAGUUCUAAGAAAGAUUUUGCUAUUGUCAUGUGGGUGUGGUAGGCUACUGGCCCUAAAACCAAAUGUUACCAAUUUACAAUAUCUGGCGUAAGGACUGAAGGAAACACUGGUAGAGUUUGGUAGAGUUGGCCUCCAAAUUCAGCUGAUGACUGGAAUUGGUCUAAUAUUUUAUACAGCAAUAGGUCAUAUUUUCAGAUAUAGCAGCUUCUAUCAUUUUGAAUCCUCUCUCUUAAAAUUAUGUUCUCAUCUAGAAAAAGACGACCGCGACGAUGACAACAACAACAAAAACAUGCGUAAUCUUACAAUGUGGAUCUGGGGAGUAUAGUGUGUACGCAUACCUUAUUCCUACCUUGUAAAUGUAGAGGGGUUGUUUCCGAUAAACUCUCGGCUCAAGAAGUAGAUUUUGAUUAAAUCCUCCAUGCAAAUAUAGUUCUUUUUACUUGAGGCAAUCACUGUGUAAUGCAGAGGUAACAUGGACUUGAAGUUACUUUUUUCUUGCAAUAGAAGGUUUAAGAGUUUAGUACUAAAAUGGGUAAUCAACAUAGUAAUAUUUACAUUACGUAAUUCAAGGGGAAUGGGACCAUGAUCUUUUGACUUAUUUUAUGGUUUUCAUGUAACCAAGUUGUACUCUUUGUUGAUUGUUAGUGUUUUAUAUUAUCAUGGACCUCACGCCGAGUUCGAGUUUUGUGUGGACGUUUAAAAAUUGUUCUUUUUAGUUUUUUGUGUUUUCACGCAUAAGAGAUCUAAAUUUAAAAUACCAAAGAUUUUUGUUAGGUCAUAUUCUUCUAUUCAAGGCUAUGUUCAUCUAUUUCUCUGUGUGGAGUGUGAAUGGUACCUGCAAAUUGCUUGGAAUUUCUCAUGCAUUAUAUGAGUUCUGAGGUCCACGCAUAAAGAUGAAUUACUUUAUUAAUCAGCAGAAAUGAUUAAGGAAAAAAUAAAAGGGCUUAACUCCUACACACGAAAAAAUGAUUGUUGACUUUUUUGUCGCUGAAAAAAAGGAAAAGAUUGCUAAAAUCCUUUGCCAUAGCUGCAAGAAACAAACUAAGCAAUAGCUUGAAGGCAAUUGCCAAAUUGUCUGUUAACUCAUAGACUCGAGGUCGAGACAAUUCUCUAAAUAAUAAUUGAAUGAAGAAUUCUAUCUGCAGUUCCUGUGAAGCAAGUUUUUGAAAUCAAACCAGGAAGAUGAUCAGUUUAUUUUCCAAAACUGAAUAUGCAUAGACAUAAUUUUCAAGAAUAUAUUGCAGUAUAUGAAAAUAGCAUGUAAAACACUUAAUCUGGGACAAAUAAGGUUAAAAUUUCUAUUCCUGAAUACAAGUACAAUACUGUUAAACACAAAUCUAUGACCAAACAAUAUCAACGUGAAAUAUCUACACCCUGCAGUAGGACAUUAUCAACCUGGAAACACUAGGAAAAGACAGCAAUAGCAAUUUUAAGUAAACCCUCAGGCAGUUCGAAGGUUUUUUUUAUCUUUUAUUCAGCAGUACACAUGAUACAGAUUAUUAUAGUCAUUCACCAUAUCUAACCUCUGGCUAUCUGCAAUGAUUCUAAAAAAAUUUAAAAGUACAAGAAGCUCAAGCCCUGAUUAUCAGCAAGAGAUGGGAUAAGGAAAUCCUAAGGCUACAUCUACAGAUUAGCUAACACAGAAAUGCCCAUCUUACACACUAUCCUAGUGAGGCAACCAUCUGUAUAUCCUGUAACUAACAGUAUAACUUUUCUCGCUUACAUGUCUAUACAGAGGACAACAUGCAAAUCAGAACAAUUAACAAAGCUACGGGUAGCAAAUCUUUCUACUUGACUUGUAAAUCAAGCAUCACUGUCAUUGCCGCCUCCAUGUUUUUCUGCAUCAUCACCACCUUCAGCUUCAUCCUCCUCUUCUUCCUCAUCACUCAUGUUAUUUAUUACUUCAGUGAUUAUUGCCUUCACCUCUGCUUUUCUGUGCAUCAAAUCCAUAUCAAAGUGGCUACCUGAAAUAAAGCCCCAGUAAACAAGGUUAGAAAAUGAGAGAUCAGUACAACAGAUUCUUGAAUGGCAGGUAGAAUGAGCAUUUGAAUAAACGCACCUAGUUUCCUGAUAAUAUCAGAUAAAGUUGCCUGCAUUCAAGUAGUGCAAGAACAUGAUCGGUAUGAAGGCUCAAGCACUAAUUAAACAACAACAAAAAUUAAAAAAAUAAAUAAUAUAUAUAUAUACACACACACACACACAUACAUACAUACAUGUUGACUUUUAUGUUUGAUAAGUAGUAAAAGAAGUAUGACUUACAGUGUUAAAAUCAACUUCUUGAAGAAUACUUGCUACUACUGCAUGCAAUUCUUCUUUGGUGGGCUCUGCUUUGGCCUUCUUCACACUUUUCCCUUUUCCUAUUCCAAAAGGUUCAACAGUCACAAAUGUGGAAGAUACACAACUAAAAAGAGAAUCUGUUUGGUGCAAUGAUCAGUAAAUCCUAGAAUACAGAUUGACAUCAGAUUCUGGACAAUCGCUGACAUUAAAAUAUGACAUAUCAGAAUACUCAUUUUUGGGAAAAGGAGAUCAGUGUAUCCUGAAACAUCACUCUUCACAAGAAUAUCUCAAAAAGCUAAACCUGAAGCUCUUUAGUUUCUCACCAUAGAGAAGAAUGGAAGCACAAAUAUUAACGGGAAAAAAACAAGUUGUACCUUCCUUUGCAGUAGACUUGCGUGAUUGUUUCUUGCCCGAAGAUUUUUCCUUCACAGAUUCAGUUUCUUCUUUUUUACUUUUCUUUUCAACUUUUUGUUUCUUGGGUUUAGAUAUUGAAUCCGCAGCAGAAGCACCUUUCUUGGAAGCUGAACUAGAAGUCUCUUUGGUAGAUUUUGAUGACCUUUUCGAAGACUUAGUAGGGCUGCCCUUUUCCAUAGCCUUAGACUUAUCUACAGCUUUACUCCCAGAAUCCUUCUUUGAACUCUUCUUUGAAUAAACCUUCUCAUGAGACUUGUCUUUGGGUUUCUCUUCCAUUUCCUCUUCCUCUUGUUCCUCAUCUUUCUCGGAAGCAGUCUCUUCCUGAUCACUUCCUUCUUUAGCAGCUUCAUCGUCAUUCUCAGAGUCAUCUCUAGUAUCUGAUGGUUCAUCAUCAGCUUCUUCUUCAAUUUUUGAUGACCGCUUGCGCUUCACCCCAACAUCAGAUUUCUGAUCCUUCUGCUUUGGAGAUGACAAAGAAGUCAGACAACCUUUCAGCAGUCAGAAGACUAUGACAGACAUGCAUGGAAAAAGUAACAGCAAACUUCCCUUGACAACAGAAACAUCAAGAUUUACUAACAUGAGCCGUCAAAAUGCAUAGAUGUUGAUGUAUGACUGCCACAUAAAGUGCUUAGAAAUACUGACAAAGCCAAAGGCACAACAUAUAUCCCCUGCCAACAAUUGAAUCCAACAGAAAAUAUAAAGCAGUGCCUAAAUUUCUCUUCAAAAUGUAGUUCAAGUCUAAGUUACAAACGUACUUCUUAAUACACAUUAUAACUUAGUUGCUUCAGCUGAAUAAUUUACAUAUUUUGCUAGUUCUCACCAAAAUCAUGAUGACAAAUAACCACUAAAAUUCAAUGUUUCUGACACACUAACUUUUUUAUUUAUCCCAAAAGUUUGAACAGAUUCUCCUUGAGAGUAGAUUGUAAAGGCAAGGAGUUAAAACUGAUUAACUGACUAAAUGUACACUAUAGAGAUUAUUUCUGUACCAUCAUUUUAUUGUCUUCAUCCAAAAAAAUAGUUAUGCUUAAGUUGCCAUACCUAUUUACUUGUGCAAACAAAACACUAGUUGCUCACAUAUCCAGUAGCCAACAACACAGAACUGGAAAAAGGAAAGAGAGGAAGCACAUGCUAGCGUAGUCAAAGACUUGCUUGAAGCUGGCACUUGUUAAUACUAAUAUGCAAUAAAUCCACAGUGAAACAACAAUAACAACAACCCAGUAUAAUUCCACUUAGUGCGGUCUGGGGAGGUUAGUGUGUACGCAGACCUUACCCCUACCCUUGGGUAAAGAGGCUGUUUCCNNNNNNNNNNNNNNNNNNNNNNNNNNNNNNNNNNNNNNNNNNNNNNNNNNNNNNNNNNNNNNNNNNNNNNNNNNNNNNNNNNNNNNNNNNNNNNNNNNNNNNNNNNNNNNNNNNNNNNNNNNNNNNNNNNNNNNNNNNNNNNNNNNNNNNNNNNNNNNNNNNNNNNNNNNNNNNNNNNNNNNNNNNNNNNNNNNNNNNNNNNNNNNNNNAACUUCCCACCUUGCUCUUGGGGAGACUCGAACUCACAACCUCUCAGUUGGAAGUGGGGGUUGCUUACCAUCAGAGCAACCCCUCUUGUCAUUAAAUCCACAGUGCAAAUUACAAAAUAAUUAGUGUUUCUUAACCAACGCCAUAGUGGCACUAGUUAGCAUGACCCUUAAAAAAUAUCUUACUUCAUUUCCAUCCCCUCUCUUAAGCACUUAGGUUCAUUUAGAUUGUCAGUUGUUUGAAGCUCAGAGAAAUUAAUUGCAGUUAUCAGCUACAGAAAGUUAUAGAUACUUUUAAACAUUGUCAUUAGCUGAAUGUGCUAGUUGGAAUGAAUGCCUUGAGAAGAGAAGGGCGAGAUUGAGAGAGAACCUUUACUGAUUUCCCAGUAGUUUUAUCUGAGGAACCUGUGCUUUUGGCAGCUGUGCUCUUCCCCUUUUGCUUCUUACCCUUCUAACAUUAAAAAGAACACAAAAGUUACAACUUCACAAAUAUUAAACAAAUGCUAAUACAUAAAGAACGUUAAGACAAAAGGGAACUCUUCAAGGAGAGAGAGAGAGAGAGAGAAGCUUAGAAGAUUCAGCUAUAUACCUGUUGCUUAUCAGCAAGCAAGGAAUCUGUUGUAGGAUGAGGAGAUUCCAGGAAUUCUAAUAAUUUCACUACGAGCUCAUCCUGAAAAUUGAUACAAGUAAAAUGACUGACAGGGAAAAACUAGGUAAUAAAAUUUGCUGCAGUGGAUGACACAGUUGACAAAGACCCAUUGGAAAUACAUGCCUUCUUUGCAGCAGAUUUAAUCACUGAAAUAUUGAGGACAUCACAAAAAUCCAGUAGCUUCUCCUUAAUACACUUGUCCAGCCUCUCUUUGACUUUCCCCCUUUGUUUUUCCUGCUUGAUAAAAUAAAGUAGGCAAAUGAUAAUCUGAUCACACAUUCAAUAAAAGGGAUCAUUUAGUAACUUGAUGUAUCACUUAAUUACGUCCAUUUCACAUGUAAAUAAAUAAAGAAAGCAAAAGGAAGAUUCAAUCACAAGAUAUAAAAGACAUAGAAACAAAAGUACCUCAUCUUCAACCCAAACAAAUCCUGAAAACUGCCCUAUGUUUUUCUUCAAACUAUGUGCCUGCAGAGGUAAAAUGUCAAAGACAUCAUCAAAGCCUUGCAAUAAAACAAGCAAAGACCAAGCCCUGUGCACAUAGCCCCCCACCCCCAAACAAACACGUGCACACAGUUUUAGAUGUCAAACCAUGAGAGAUAGCAUCUCUAGAUGUAAUGCUCAGGAGUUCAUAACUAAGAAGAUGAUGCUGACCUUUGUUUUCUUGCCAUAAAGAAUAUUGUGUAGUAUCUGCAGGUUAGCAUCAGGUUUUCUCUUGGAUAGUUUAUAAGCCACUGAAAAUUUCAAAAUAUUGAAGAUGUCAGAGAGAGAAAAUCAAGCUUCAAUAUCACGCAGCUAUAAUUAAGUAAAUCAUAGCAUUGGACUCAUAACUCGAUAGUAUGCAGUAUCUGAGUCAACAGAAAAACAAAUAGAAACCUUUUGUAAAGAUUUACAUUUUUAUUUAUGCAAGUAAACACUGCUUUACUUGAACUCGGUUCUUUGUGGUCCCUGUGAAUCAAAUUAAAUGAGUUAAACUAAAGAUCGUGUAUACACCUACUUCCGCGCACUAUUUGUCCAUUAAACCAAGAUCUAUGAAGAAACCCACUGAAAAAUACACCAAAUGUGUACAUAAUCAAAAGCCAAAGAAUCAAUUUAAUCUCUUCAAAAGAUAGAUAUACACCAUCCAGUUUUUUAUGAAGGAAACACCAUCCAGUUUGUAUACAACUUCAAUAAGUUUCAAGAAUAUAAACAAUGUUUUCAUCCAGCAAAUUCCCCAACCAUUACUUUCAAUAUUUUCUUCCACUAUCACUAAUAUAAUAUAUAUAGGCCAAAUUGAAAUCAUAAUUUCACAUCCAAUCAAAUACCAUCACAUGAAAUAAAAGAGAAGGAGCGUAUCAAAGUAUCGGUCAAAUUACAAUCUCAGUGAAUUUCACCAAGUAAUGACAAAAAUGCAAACAUCUUUUUUUUUCCUUUUUGCCUAGAAGGAAUCAAAUUGACUAAUCAAUCAUUAAACGAUAAAUAAAUAGCAGAGCAUAACCAUUUAAGAGGGAAAACAAAGUGCUCGAGCAGAAGUGAAAUCAUACCGUUUGGGAUGUACUUCAGCUGAGUACCACUACCCUGCAUUUAAACACACUGAUUCAUAGAAGGAAAUUCGCAUCAUAACUGAAAUUGCAAAUCAAAUGUUUACACUGCCAUUUAUUCUCUAGUUUGAACCUAAAAUCUAAAAUGAUACUGCUGAAUAUUAUUUAGGAAGUCAUGACGAUUAACAAGAAAGGAAUCCUUGAAUUUGAUAUCAACUGAAAAAUUAAAAAAAAAAGAAAUCAAGAAUUUUAGAAACAGAACAUUCAGAAAGAUACCUUCCUGAUUGACAAUGGCUUAGGCGUCGAACUUCUAGCACCCGAAGACUCAGAGUAACGCUCCACAGUUUUCCGUUCCCUUGUCGGCCUUGAGCUUGGUGUCACUGGCUCUUCCGUACUUUCGCUACUACUUUUCUCUUUGCCCUUCUUUACUGGUGUUUUCUCUUGCUUUUCCUCCUCCUCUGAUUCCUCUUUUUCCUCCUGCUCUGAUUCGGCUUCUUCCGCUUCUUUUUUGUCUACUUCCAUUUCAUCUACUUCCUCUUUGUCUUCUUCUUUCUCGUCCUCAUCUUCGGCUUUAAUUUCAUCUUUUUUCUCCUCCUCCGCUGCUUCGGUUGACUUUUUCUCUUCUUCUUGUUCUUGUAAGGAAGAUUUCUCCUCCGUCAUCUCUUCUGGUUUCUGAUCUUUCUCUGACGCCAUAGACGAAACAAUACUAGUGAGCAGCAGUAAACGAGUGGUAAAACCCUAGUCUGGGGUUUCUGGUUUUGGGAAUUUUUCUUUUCUCUGUAGUAAGAUUGAAUGUAAGAGAGAUAGAGAAGUUUGAAGAUACAGAUCUAGAACUUGAAAUGUUAAGAGGGAAAAGGCGGGCGCAAUUUGGAAUUGGAGAUGCUAAAAAUACUACUCCUUCUGAAGCUCGAAAUUUUCGUUUGGGAUUACAAAAUUCUAAAUACCGGGAAUUCCCGGUUAUGAAACGGUAAUUGCCCGCCUAUCCUUUUUGCUUUUUUCACUUGUGGGCCGGUAAUUGCAGAUCCGUGUAUAUCCCGUUAAUCAAGAAGAAAGUGCACCAUUAGCCACUAAUUAGAUAUAUCUUACUUUUUAGGGAAACGUACACAAAAUAUAUUCCAAAUAAAUCUUAACUAACAAACUCUAGUCAUUAAUUAUAGACUUACCAAAACUAGCCAAUAAAAAUUAAAAAAUCAAAUAAUAGAGUUCUUUCUCUCAAAAAAUCACAUGCAAAAAUCACCUUCCAUAUUUUUAAGCGUGAUUAGCAAUAUUAGAAAAAACGGAAAGGAAAUUUCAAGGACGGGAUAGCAACUAUGGUAAUAAAAUAUAAAAAUCUAUGCAAUAUUCCAAAAUUUUAAAUAAAAAAAAAACUUUUUCAAUGGGUAUAGUUGAAAUUCAUGAAAAUAUAUAGAUAAGUCAAUAUAGAAAAUUUGAGGAAGAUCAGAGGUGAUUUAAACUAGUUUUGAAUCAAAAUUCGUAAUUAAAUCGAGUUCAAAAAAGUGUUAUGCGACACAUGUAUCAGGCAUGUAUCUCACAUACCGGUAUAUAUAGAUAUAUAUGUGAUACACAAUUGAUACAAAUAUGAUACAUAUGUGAUACACAAGUGAUACACAGUGUGAUAUAUAUAUAUCAUUUUUUCAUGUUCAACUUUUACUUCGAAUUUUCAAUUCAAACCACCUCACAACUUCACCAAAUCAUCCCAAAACUGAGAUUCAAGCUCCGUAAGUUGUGUCCAAUCUAUUUAAUAACACCCACUCAAAACAAAUUAAAAAUUUGAUAUUUUCUUGCUACAAAUAGCUAAUUGGCUAAUUUGGCUAAUAUUAGUAAUAUUUUAUCAAUUGCCAAUUUUUGUGAUGAGCUACUUAUAAAUGGACAUAGCUGGUAAUUACCCACUUUUUAACUAAUGUUUAAAAUGUUUUUACCAUUCGCCCGUAAGAAAAUACCCUUGUACUAGACAUCGGUAUUAAUAAAUAUUAAGGACAUGGAGUCCUUAACUUCACGAGUACUAUGUAAAUAUUAAAUAUAAAGUGUCAUGUAUUUGCACCUUCUGUUUUUAAACAUUAGGAUAUCAUGUCUUUAACUUCAUAUGUGUAGCGUAAAUAUUAAUACUAUGAUAUCCUUAACUUAAUGUGUGCAGUGUAAAUGUUAAUGACAUAAUAUUUGCACCUUAUGUUGUUAAACCGUCACGGCCCUAGUUCACCAAUUGUGAACUUGUCAAGACAGCUCACAGUCUUCGCGACUAGGUAAGCCUAACACAUUGCGAAAUUUAACCGUUCGAAAUAAAAAUAGUAACAAAAACUAAAUAGAAUAAGAAAUGUAUAAUUGUGCCGCUUGACACAAACACUGAAUACACAACUUCUGAAAAACAAUAUCCCUAAAAUCCGGAAUCCCACGGGAAACACAGGCUAUGGAGAGUCUUACACUGCUCUAGUCACCAUAAUUGACUAAUACAAAGAAGGGAAUCAAAAUAACAAUUAAUAAUUAGAGAUGGAAUGAGAAGGAGACUAUGCAGAUAGGCGAAUGUAGCAGAUGUAUACCUCAAGUCUCCAAUAAUGCUCCCCAACAACUAUUGGCGGUAUGCCUGCUCGAGAGUACCUGGAUCUGUACAUGAAAAACAUGCGCAUAAGAGGCGUGAGAACACCACAGCGGUACUCAGUAAGUGCCAAGCCUAACCUCGGUGGAGUAGUGACAAUGAAAGGUCGAGGCUCUACUGAGAUAAAUGUAAAAAUAAAUAUGAAAUGAAUAGACAGUAGAAGUACUGUAAAUCUCGAGUAUCCAGCAAAAUAAUAAGUAGAAUAGAAAUAGGCUACAACUACAAUCUACGAAUGCAAGAACAAUCACUACAGGCUAUUUAUCAUCGAGGAUCUCCUAGUAUCCCGAGAAUUUCCUGGUAUCAUCAUCAUAUACACAAGGGAUCUCCAAGUAUCCCGAGGAUCUCCUAGUAUCCUCCAUUUAAUCGCGAGGGAUCUCCAAGUAUCCCGAGAAUCUCUUAGUAUCCUCCAAUUAAUCAAUCAUGUGCCGGAGAUCUCUUAGUAUCUCGCACUUCCAAUCUCGAAACAUAAUACAUACAGGGAACUCCCGGGAUGCCGUCCUAUAGACCCAUUCGUGAACACAAAUCAACAAUUCAAUAUUUAACAGAAAGAAGCUAAGUACGAGCAACAGGUGAAAAUCUAGAGUCUAGCAUGCUCACAAAAAGGUAGAUAUUGCAAUUUAGUCAAAUAGAGAAAAUAAGUUACUAACAUGCUUUCCCUAAGCUAAAACAACUGAAAUUGCAUUUUUAACAGUUAAAUACGUAAAGAAACACAGUCUAAAUAAGCCAAGUAAGGUGAAUUUUUAACAACUACCACAAGUACAUGUCGUCACCUCGCGCACAAGGCAUUUAAACAACAGUAAAGAUAUCCUAAGGGGAGAGCUCCCCCACACAAGGUUAGACAAACCACUUACCAAACUCUCCGACUGGCGACUCAAGGCAUCGGCUACCACAUUGGCCUUGUCCGGGUGAUAAAAAAUAGUGAUAUCAUAAUCCUUCAGUAGCUCCAACCAUCUCCUCUGGCGCAAGUUCAGAUCCUUCUGCUUGAACAAGUGUUGCAAACUUCGAUGAUACGUGUAAAUCUCACAAGGCACGCCAUAGAAAUAAUGAAUCAAGAUCUUCAAGGCAUGAACAAUAGUAGCUAACUCAAGGUCAUGGACAGGAUAGUUCUUUUCAUGUACCUUCAAGUGUCUGGACGCGUAGGCAAUCACCCUACCGUCCUGCAUCAACACCGCUCCAAGUACCACUCAUGAGGCAUCAUAAUAUACCGUAUAGGACCUGAACCAGUAGGCAAAAUCAGAAUAGGGGCUGAAGUUAAAGCCGUCUUGAGCUUUUGGAAGCUCGCCUUACACUCGUCUGACCACUGAAAAUGAGCACCCUUCUGGGCUAAUCUAGUCAUAGGGGCUACAAUCGAGGAGAACCCCUGCACAAAACGACGGUAAUACCCCACCAGUCCAAGGAAACUGCGGAUCUUCGUAGCUAAAGAGGUCCUGGGACAACUCUACAUGGCUUCCACCUUCUUCGGAUUUACCCGAAUGUCCUCACUCGAUACCACGUGGCCUAGGAAUGGCACAUAACUCAACCAAACCUCACAUUUUGAGAACUUUGCAUAUAAUUUCUUUUCCCUUAGGGUCUGAAGCACUGUCUUCAGGUGUUGCUCGUGAUCUUCCCGACUCCAGGAGUAUACAAGAAUAUCAUUUAUGAAAACAAUGACAAAUGAGUCGAGAUAGGUCCUGAAUACACUGUGCAUCAAAUACAUAAAAGCUGUUGGGGCGUUGGUCAGCCCAAAUGACAUGACAAGGAACUCGUAAUGACCAUAUCAAGUCUUGAAAGCAAUAUUCGGAAUAUCCGGCUCCCGAAUCUUUAGCCGGUGAUAACCUGAGCGCAAAUCAAUCUUAGAAAAUACUUGUGCGCCCUGAAGCUGGUAAAAUAGAUCAUCAAUAUGAGGCAAAGGAUAUCGGUUCUUCACUAUGACUUUGUUCAACUGAUGAUAAUCGAUACACAUGAGCAUAAAACCAUUAUUUUUCUUUAUGAACAAGAUAGGAGCAUCCCACGGUGAAACAUUGGGUCGAAUAAAACCCUUAUCAAGCAAUUCCUGUAAUUGAUCCUUCAACUCCUUCAACUCAGGAUGAGCCAUACGGUAAGAAGGAAUAGAUAUGGGCUGAGUGCCCGGCAACAAAUCAAUACUAAAAUAAUGUCCCGAUCGGGCGGCAAGCCCGGAAGAUCAGCUAGAAAUACAUCGGGGAAAUCUCGUUCCACUAGGACAGAGUCAACAUUAGGGGUAUCGGCUUUGAUAUCUCUCACAUAAGCUAAAUAUGCGGCGCACCCCUUCUCAACCAUACGUUGAGCCCUAAGAAAUGAUAUAACUCUACUAGGAGUGUCAUCAAAAGUACCACUCCACUCACGUGGAAUACCUGGCAUAGCCAGCGUCACGGUCUUAGCCUGACAAUCAAGAAUAGCAUACUGGGGCAACAACCAGUCCAUGCCCAAGAUAAUAUCAAAAUCAAUCAUAUCAAGUAAUAAAAGAUCUUCCCUGGUCUCAAAACCACGAAUAGUAACCAAACAUGGCCGGUAUACCCGGUCCACGGCAAGGGAAUCUCCCACGGAAGUAGAAACAUAAACAUGAGAGCUCAAGGUCUCUCGGGCUGUACCUAAAUGCGGAGCAAAAUAAGAUGACACAUAAGAAUAAGUAGAGCUUGGAUCGAAUAGAACUGAUGCCUCUCCUUGACUAACCAAUAUAAUACCUAUGAUAACAGAAUCGGAGGUGACAACCUCGACACGAUUAGGAAUAGCAUAAAAUCUCGCCCGGCCCCUCCCUCGAGGGUGACCUCUAUCUUCCCAAUCUCUGCCCUUGGCUAGCUGGGGAGGUGGGGUGGCAGUUGGAGCUGGAAUGAUAGCCUGGGAAUCUCGCUGGGUACACUGCUGAUGAGACUACUGCGGAGGUGCACUCCUCACAAGCCUAGGGCAAUCCCUCACUACAUGGCGGGUAUUCCCCACACGCAUAACAAGCUCUGGGAGGCGUGGUGGUUGUGACUGACUGGGCAAACCCCUGCUAGAUUAGCCUCUGGAAGUACCCCGCGUGGGAGGUGUACUGGAAACUGGAGGUGCAUAAUAAGGCUCCUGAGAUAUGGGAGGAGCUGGAGUACUACCGGGUGAAGGAAGAGCUGAGUGAAUUGGGCGACCAGUAUAACCCAUACCAUGACGUCCUAAUCCUGAAGUACGGGUACCAGAGUAAUGACCCGACUCACGAGACCCCUUAGCCUCUCUCUCCUCUCGCUCCCUUGCAUGCAUACCCUAUAUCCUCCUAGCUAUGCUCACUACCUGCUGAUAGGGUAUAUCCAUCUCCAACUCUCGUGCCAUGCCAGACCUGAUGGAAGGAAUAAGACCCUCGAUAAACCGGUGAACCAUCUCACAAAUAGUAGCCAUCAAAGCAGGCACAUGCCUGGCCAACCUAGUGUAAUGGAUGGCAUACUCACAAACAGUCAUAAGGCCGUGGCGCAAAUUCUCAAACUCCAUGCGUCAUGCAUCUCAGAGGCUCUGGGGAACAAACUCCCUCUGAAACAUAUAUGAAAACUAAGUCCAAGUCAGGGAGGCAGCCUCGUCCGGACUGUCUAACUCAAAGGUGCUCCACCAGUUAUAGGCGGCUUCCCGAAGCUGGAAGGCUGCAAAAUAAACCCCGCUCAAGGCAGUAAUACCCAUGGUGCAAAAAAUGCGGUGAAAAUCCUCCAAAGUCCAUUGAAAAUAGGAGGGUCGUACUUCUUGAACCUCUCCAAUCUACGUUGCCCAUCCUCCGAAGUAGGUGCCCCAUCAUCGGGCUGAACCGGUACUCCAGGCUGGAUAGGGAUAAUAUCCUGAAUCUGUCCCAUAUGCACCCUCUGCUCUGAAGUGUGGGCUGCGGGAAUCUGGGCUCCUCCCCCGUCCUAGGACGUGGCUGUAGGAAGGGGAAGCAAACCUGCCUGUGACAGCGUAGUAUACAUGCUCAAAAACUGCACCCAUGCCUCCUGAACAGUUGGAGUUGUGGUGGUUGUGGGCGUUCCAGGUGCCUGAGUCUUGGCUGGAUCCGUUGGUGGUACCUUGGCAGCCACUCGCGCAGGUGCUCUGGCUGCACCCCGCGCGCGUCCAUGACUCCUGCCCCGGCCCCUACCUCUAGCGGCUGCAAGAGGGGAUGUGGGUGCCUGAUCGUCUCGUGUCGUGCGUGUCCUCAACAUUUGUGAGAGAAAAGAAGACAGAUGUUUCGAAAUAAAAACAAUAGAAUAAGAAAUGUAUAAUGGUGCCGCUUGACACAUACACUGAAUACAAAACUUCAUAAAACAAUAUCCCCAAAACCCGGAAUCCAACGGGCAACACAUGCUAUUAAGAGUCUUACAUAGCUCUAGUCACCAUAAUUGACUAAUACAAAAAGGGGAAUAGAAAUAACAACUAAUAACUAGAGAUGGAAUAAGAGUGAAACUUUGCGGAUUUGCGGACGUAGCAGAUGUAUACCUCAAGUCUCUAAUAAUUCUCCCCGACAACUACUGGCGGUAUGCCUGCUCAAGAGUACGUGGAUCUACACAUGAAAAACAUGCACAAAAGAGGCGUGAGUACACCAUAGCGGUACUCAGGAAGUGACAAGCCUAACCUCGGUAGAGUAGUGACGAGGAAAGAUCGAAGCCCUACUAAGAUAAACGUAAACGUAAAUAUGAAAUGAAUACAAAGUAGGAGUACAUUAAAUCUCGAGUAUCUAGCAAAAUAAUAAGUAGAACGGAAAUAGGCUACAACUACAACUACAAUCUACGAAUGCAAGAAUAAUCACUACAAACUAUUUAUCAUCGGGGAUCUCCUGGUAUCCCGAGGAUCUCCUGGUAUCCUCAUUAUAUACACAAGGAAUCUCCAAGUAUCCUGAGGUUCUCCUAAUAUCCUCCCUUUAAUCACGAGGGAUCUCCAAGUAUCCCGAGGAUCUCCCAGUAUUCUCUAAUUAAUCAAUACUAUGCCGGAGAUCUCUAAGUAUCUCGCACUUACAAUCUUGGAACGUAAUACAUACAGGGAACUCCCGGGAUGUUGUCCCGUAGACCCAUUCGUGAACACAUCACAAAAAUUCAAUAUUUAAUAGAAAGAAGCUAAGUAUGAGCAAUAGGUAAAAAUCUAGACUCUAGCAUGCUCACAAAAAGGCAGAUAUUGCAAUUUAGUCAAAUAGAGCAAAUAAGUUACUAACAUGCUUUCCCAAAGCUACAACAAGUGAAGUUAUAUUUUAAAUGUUAAAUACGUGAAGAAACACAAUCUAAAUAAGCCAAGUAAGGUGAAUUUUCAACAGCUAGCACAAGUACACGCCCGUCACCUCGCGCACAAGGCAUUUAAACAACAGUAAAGAUAUCCUAAGGGGAGAGCUCCCCCACACAAGGUUAGACAAGCCACUUACAUCGAACCGGUACAGAAAUCGCUAAGAAACAAUACCCUUGCCACGAGUAACCGACUCCGAGUGGCCCAAAUCUAUUCAAACCAAUUACAUAUUGUAAAUAACAUCGCAAGUAACUAAUUCCACUAUUAAAAUUAAAGCUAAGGCGCGAAUGUUGAUACCCAUUUUCUCCUAUAUAUUCUUGUACCCAAAAUACUUUUAGAAUAGUAUGUGUAUGCAUAUAUAAGCAUGACGGGGAACUUUGGUGUUUUUCUUUAAUUUUUGAGAUCUUUUAAAAUCAAUUUACUCCUUAUUUUUGAUAGUAUAAAGGCUAAAAUUAUAUUCCAAAUUAUUAUUUUUAGUUAAUAUUUCGAUUCACUCCCAUAUUUACAAUAAAAUAUAAUUUAUGGAAUUUUUGCACAUUUUUUUACAAAUUUAUUUGGAAUUUUUAAGGCUAAUUGCACAAAAUUGUAAUUAUGGCCAAUUUCGUAAUAAACUAUGUUUCAUAGUUAUAAAUUAUUUCUAGUAUUUUUAGAUUAAUACUUAUAUAUUAUUAAUUAGUUAUAUAUUUUUAUUUUUUAUUUUUAAACUAUUUUUGCUAUUUUAUAAAAUUAAUUGGGAGAAAUUGGCUAUUUAAAAGUUAGCCAUAUUUUGUUUAAAUUGUAGCCCAUAUUGAACCCCUAUGUCAGCCCAAUUUUUUAAUCCAAUUAGACAAAAUAACGUGACCCAUACACCUUUUUAUUUACCCGACCAUCCUAGAUUCAAUAUGAGUCGUUGAUCAAAUGAGAUCAACGACCCAGAUUUAAUUUCCUAAAUUAAAACCUAAUUACCCCUUCCCUUUACCCUCAUUUUUUCAAAGCCCGGUAUCUCUCUAACCUUUCGUCUCUGAGUUCUCUCUAGAACCUUCUGGUUCUCUCUCUAAUCUCCGACGGCCUUCAUCGUUGUUCAGGCCACCUCCACCCUCACUCCUCUCGACCACCACUCACCAUGGUAUCUUAUCUCCAUAUUUCUCUCUAAGACUCGAAGUCUAGAAGCUUCCGCCAUGGAAGACAGUCGACUGAAACAUGCAUGGGUCUAUGCCGGUUUUCUCUGAUGGUUUUUACACGACAGUGCUUAUAUGGCCUUGAUGAUGAGUUUCACGGUCAUGUUCCUCCUUUCUCUAACUCGUUUGCGAACCUUAUUUUUUUCUACUCAAAUCUCUUUAAUCUUUGUUCUUUAAAAAGAUUUCUCACUCAAUCUUUCUGGUUGUCUCAUGUUUUCCGAUGAUUUUUUCUUUCUCAAAAUUAAGGUUUCUGACCCUUUUUUUUCAAAAUCGCUUCUUCUACUUUUCUUGAGUGUUAUGUGAUUGUUUGUGCUUGUUUGUGUUACAAGUUUGUUUGGUUUCCUUGUUACCUGGGUUCCAUGCCUUAAUUUUCUUGCUAGGUUUCCGACCCUUUGUUGCUUCCAUGCUUUUACCUGCUUAGGGUUCUCUGAAUUUCUUGUGUAUUAGGCUUUAUAGGCCUAAAUUGUUCAUCGUUCGAAAUAUUCUACUGAUGUUGAACAUCUCUGUUAAUCUCUGAUUUGUAUGUGAUUUUCCUUAGAUGUUUUAUUUAUUUCUUUUGAAAUUACUUCCUUAUUUGGGCAUGCUCUCCUUAUUUAGAGACAAUUCUCUCUGAUUUUGGGUUUUGCCCGUGAUUCUUUGACUAAUUGUCAGACCAAUUUGUAUUCCCUUACCAUAUUUGUGCAUGAACAGGCUUUCAAAAUCUUCAGCAUAUAUUUUCCUUACUUUAAUUACUAUGUGUAUUCACCCUUAUUGCAUAAUUUGUAUUCUCUUACCGUAUUUGUGCAUGAACAGGCUUUCAAAAUCUCCAGCAUAUAUUUUCCUUACUUAAAUUACUAUGUAUCUAACCCUUAUUGCAUAUUAUAUGCUAUACUACUUUUAUUAAGGUAAAUGUAAUAGUUUAAUUGAUUCCUUUCCUUCUAAAACCCUUUACUUGUUACCGCUUGACUUUGAUUCCUUAAUUAAAAGGGAGUCCUUAUACUAAUUUGAUUGUAAAUGCUUAUUACCGCUUGUCUUUGAUUCCUUAAUUAAAAGGGAGUCCUUAUACUAAUUUGAUUGUAAUUGAUACUAGUCCCUUAAUUAAAGAUUACUGCUUGUUUAUGUACUCGUUUUCCACUACUAUAAAUACUCCCCCCUUUCUCUUUGAAGGACACCAACACACACUGCAUAUCUCUCACAACUUCAGACUCUCUGAAUUCUCUCUUUCUCUGCUAUUACUAUACUCUCUCAUUCUCUUAUUUGAACACUCAAUCGGUUAAAAGGCAAGAUUGAGUAGCCCGGGUUGAUUACUUCUAUACUAGUGGGUUAUAUUGUUUGUUUACUUGGGUUUGCUGCUGCUGCUAUUGCUAUUCUCAUACUGCUGCAAACUGUUAUUCAAUUCGCUACUCACACACUCUGAUCACCUUGUUCCUCCGUGCACUAUUGCUCACUGCUAUUGUGUUCAAUUACUUGCAACUGGUAUGUCACCCUUUUAAGAUAUAGUUUCCAAAACAACAUGUUUCUAUUAAUUUUGCAUUUCAUAUUGUUCCUUGUGUGAUUUUACUUAUGGUUUUGUUGCUCUUUUUUUCACUAGCAUGCAUUUACUAGUCUACUUAGUUUAGCUUAACAUGCUCCCCUUACCCCUUUCCUGUCUCAAUAAAUGUUUUCCUUUCCCUUGUGCAUUACUACUAUGUGUCCAGGGCUGCUUCGCUACUUGAUUAGCCCUAAACCUUUGCUUGAGGCUAAGUGUAUUUGGGUUUGGUACAGUAAGAACUGAACCCCUGAUUCUGCAACCAUGUCUGAUUACUUUCCUCCAAUAUGUUGUUUGUGCGUGAGUAGUUCACUUUACUUAUUUGGUCCUUUCUCUUUUGCCCCUGUUUGUGUGAUGCUCUGAAAAGGUCCAAAUGAUUUUAGAAGAACUUUUUAAACUCUUUCAACUAUUUUCUCAAACUGUAUCAACUUUUUAACUGUUUUUCUCAAGCUGUCUCUUAGUUGUUUUUUAACUCUCUCAAUUCUAUCACAAUCUCACUACUCUUAGAACAUUAGGUUCUGCCCCUUUAGUGCAAGAAUUGCCUUGGGAGCCCUUGAGCACCCAUUGAACUUUGAUGAACAAGGCUGAACUCCCACACUUGCACUUCUCUAAUGAUGAUGGCAUUGGCUCGGGAUCCCUUGAGUACCCAUUGAACUUUGAUGUACAAGGCUGGCACCUCCACACUUGCACUUGUCUAAUAAUGAUAUUUUGGGUGCUUGGUAUUGGCCAGGGGUCCAAACGAAACCUUAGGGAACUUUUCCGCACCCAAACCUUGGUAAUGGUUGUGAUACUCGAAAGAAGUGAGGUUGGAGAUGCUUGGCCUGGCUGAAGGCUCUCUAUAGAGUAACUUCUUAUUUUCUUUUAUCACUGUAGUAAUUUAGUUACUUGAGUUGUAAUAAUUUGUAAAGAACAAUGGGGAUUAUAGUGAAUUGGGAGGGCUAUGUAAGUUUAAUUAAGGGAAUGCGUAGAAAACAUGUCUAUAGGCCUUUAUUUACCUAUUUGUGCAAUUGAUACCAUGUUUUAGACAUGCAUAUUCACAUAUAGAAAUCGUGUUCUUUGGCUCUUCACUUUCUGUUUGUUAUUCUGAAUAUUCUUAUAACCAUGACUAAUUAAUAAUCAUCAAGUCAUCAACCUCACAUAUAGAUAUCAUGAUCAUAGGACUUUUGUGCAUUAGAUACCAUGUCUUUAAGGAUAUUAUUUGCAGUUGUUUACUUCGUUGAUCAGGGUUAAAAAUUUGUUAACAGCUCCCUCUUUAAAACUGGAAGCGAAUGUGCAUGCUCAUCAUCCUUUAAUAACGCCUGGGCAAGCAUUAUGUCACGACCCGUUUGUCGUGACCGUGUAGUCCAAAGGAAAGAGCGGGCCAUCUGGAACUUGUCAAUACGCAGUACCCUUGGCAUAUCCAACGUCACGGUUUUGGCAUGACCAUCAAGAAUAGCAUUAUGGGGUGACUAUUGUCACGACCCGUUUGUCGUGACCGUGUAGUCCAAAGGAAAGAGCGGGCCAUCUCGAACUUCAUCGUUGGGUUAUGGGGACGACAUUAGCAAUAAGGCGUUGUUCUCCCUUAGAUGCUUCGAUCUGGUCGAGUCAGGCAGGCCGACCCGGUUAAGUUUGGGGUGUUUGUCGCUGGUCAUGGACUUGACAAUGAAGGGGACCGAAGUAGGCCUAAGGGAUCAACUGGUCUUAUGAGCCCAAGGCAGGGCAAAACCGGUUGGCUUCCGCGUGUGGUAAGGCUUGUCGAGGAAGUGGGUGGCCUCGGGACGCCGCACGGGCGCUGUGUGCUGCGCCAGACUCUAAGCCCGUGACAAGUGGUAUCAGAGCAGGACGUACUUGCUGCUGCGCGUUAUGGUGGAGUCCUCGAGGGGAGGACUGUGCGGGUGCGUUGCCCGGGGCGGGGGCUCGUGCCGAUGGCUGCCCCAUCCUGCUAAGGUCUGCAGGGGUAAGACCGGGAUGGCCACCAGCAAGGCCUGGUUGCAUGAGGUGCGACUGAGCGGAGAGACGCGGCGCGUUAGCAGUAUUAUGCGGGACCCUGGGCGGAGUCCUUCUCCCCAACAGCACGAGGACGUGCUGGGUUUUGGGUGGGGGAGAAUGUCAUGACCUGAUAUAUAUAUAUGGUAUGGGGACGACAUUAGUAUUAGGGCGUUGUUCUCCCUUAGAUGCUUCGAUCUCGCCGAGUCAGGCUAGCCGACCCAGUUAAGUUUGGGGCGCUUGUCAUGGACUUGACAAUGAAGGGAACCGAAGUAGGCCUAAGGGAUCAACUGGUCGGGGGCUAGUGCCGCUCCCCUGAUGAGCCCACGGCAAGGCGAAACCAGUUGGCUUCCGCGUGUGGUAAGGCUUGUUUCGAGGUAACGAGCGGCCUCGGGACGCCGCACGGGCGCUGUGUGCUGCACCGGACUCUAAGCCCGUGACAAGUGGUAUCAGAGCAGGACGUACUUGCUGCUGCGCGUUAUGGUGGGGUCCUCAAGGGGAGGACUGUGCGGGUGCGUUGCCUAGGGGGGGUGGGCUCGUGCCGAUGACUACCCCAUCCUGCUAAGGUAUGGGUAAGACCUGGAUGGCCAUCAGCGAGGCCCGGUUGCACGAGGUGAGGUGCGACUGAGCGAAGGGACGCGGCGCUUUAGCAGUAUUGUGCGGGAUCCUGGGCGGAGUCCUUCUCCCCAACAGCACGAGGACGUGCUGGGUUUUGGGUGGGGGAGAAUGUCACGACCUGUUUGUCGUGACCGUGUAGUCCAAAGGAAACAGCGGGCCAUCUGGAACUUCGUCGUUGGGUUAUGGGGACGACAUUAACAAUAAGGCGUUAUUCUCCCUUAGAUGCUUCGAUCUGGCUGAGUCAGGCAGGCCGACCCGGCUAAGUUUGGGGUGCUUGUCGCUGGUCAUAGACUUGAUAAUGAAGGGGACCGAAGUAGGCCUAAGGGAUCAACUGGUCGGGGGCUAGUGCCGCUCCCAUGAUGAGCCCAAGGCACGGCAAAAGCGGUUGGCUUCCGCGUGUGGUAAGGCUUGUCUCGAGGAAGUGGGCGGCCUCGGGACGCCGCACGGGCGCUGUGUGCUGCGCCGGACUCUAAGCCCGUGACAAUUAGGCCUGAUAAAAUAGGCUAAUCACCUCUAAGUCAUGUUCGAACUAAAUCUGCCUCUGCCUGAACUCGUCUGUUUCUGAAGCUGUAUAAAUUUUUUAUAAACUUCUGCCCUAUUUUAAUACUUAUGCAAGUGAUUUCUACUUUACCAAGAACUGGCCCACUAUUUUCAAACCAUAUAUGCAAAAGUUUUCUACUGUGUUUUCUCGUCCAACACAGGGCUACUAUUUUUCAAGCUAUCUUUGUAAUCUUCAAGGGUUCAUAACCUGACAUGUGUUCCUUUAUACUUCUUCAAUCUCAAAAUAUUUCCAUUUCUGUUCUUCUAUUCUGCUUGUCCGAAAACUGUGUUCCACAAACAUUUUGAAUACAUCUGUAGAUUUUCUAAAACUGCUACUACCUUUUUGAAAGUUCUGAACGUUUUCCCUUGUGUUACUUUUCUGCAAAACUUCCAAACUUAUGUUUAAUUGAUAUUCUAGUUUUUCGAAGGUUUCUUCUUUCCCUAGACUUUAAAUAUGUUCGAUUCGUGCUAAUUAUGUGUUCAUCUUUGGAGGGAUAUUUGAGCCGUUUACAUGCUUAUAUGAUUCCCUUUAUGUGCAAAUCCUAUUUGUUCUUGAAUGACAUUUAGAAUUUUAACCUUUGAACCUAGAGGUUUCACCUAGUUCCUACCUUAUAGGAAUAAUGAUCCUAAAUGUCCUCUAGGAUCUAUAGGAUGGGACGGGUAAUAGCACGCAAUAAGUAUUUGUGACUAAUCCACACACUUAAAUAACCUUACUGGGGGGGAAGGGUAGAAUAUGGAGACGAUGUGAUAAUAUCAUAAAGCGACCCCUCUUUUGGAAUAUGCGCUGGAUAUUGUAUCGAAUGAUCCAUAUUAUAGUCAAACCAUGGACCCCUCUUUUCAUUUCUUUGCUUGCUUUAUUUAUUUAAAGGUUUUUCCAAAGUAAUGCUCUCUUUUCAAAUCUAUUCUCCCUUCUAUUUUAUUUUACUUAUGCCUUUCCCUUUUUUUAAAAAUCCUAAGUUGUUCAAAUGUUUAUAUGUGAAUCUUAUCUGUUUACUUGGUUUAUCUCCCUUUCCCUUUUCAAAAAUCCUAAGUUGCUUAAAUGUUUAUAUGUGAAUCUUAUUUGUUUGCUUGCUUCAUCUCUUCAUAAAGUCACAUUUGCACGGCCGGAAACCACACUAGUGGAUCUUGAGGGGUGCCUAACACCUUCCCCUCAAGAUAAUCUCAAGCCCUUACCCGAACUCUGGUUUUCUUUCAAAACACCCCGCUCAUCUUUAAAAGUGUCCUAAUGCACUAUACUCAUUAGGUGUCGACUCUUCAAAUUCCAUAACCCAAUUCCCAAACGGGAAUGAGAGUUGUUUUGCCCAUAAUGUGUUUGAUAUCUGAAAUAGAUGAGCCCAAGAAGACGACGGUCACUCUUAAUACUAUUGUUGUGCAAAUCCAGCCAUCUGAGGGCAUCGUGGUGAAUAUAUUUGUACCAUUUGAGUUCGAGGCACCUCCUGAAAAAGUGCCAAAACUAAUUGAGGUGGAGUUCGGGACUCUAAAGGUGGCCACAACGAGUUGUUUUGCCCAUAAUGUUUUAAAACCCAAUUUUACUUUUGAAAAAGGGGGCGCCGACAACGUGACGACUCUGUUGGGGAGUUUCUUUAAGGCUUUUACCAUCACGUAUUUUGUGACUUUAUUGCUUUCUUUAUUACCUUUAUUAUUCCUUUAAUCAUUUUUUCAUAAUUACUAACUUGUUUCUUCAUGUCUUCUUUCUUCAGUUAUUUUAUUGCUUUGCUGCAUUUACUUUAUUUCAAUUCCGUCUUAACUUUCGAGCUUCUAUUGUAAUCAUUAUCUUAUGAACGUGAAAAUACAUGUAUUUAUUUCAUUGUUGUAAUUGCAUCCUUCAACAUCAUUUUCCACUCGUGCCAAACAAACAUGUACUUAUUUCAUUGUUGUAAUUUCAUCCUUCAACAUCAUUCCACUCGUUCUAAACAAAUAUUAUAUCAACGCUUACAAUGAGUGGUUGCGCCCUUCCAAUAUUUAUAAACCCCUUAAUUUGCCAAAGGCAUAUUUGCGGUAAAACCAGUUGAUUAACGGUGUAGCCAACGGUUCCGUGCCUUUCCCUCUUGAGUUAUCCGCUCAAGGGUACCUUGUCUAGAACUUCAAAAGUAGAAGCCUUACUCUAUUUAAUUAUUCAUGCAUCAUGAUAGAACUUAGCCGAGUCAGUUAUGUUGUCCGCAUAAUGACUCAUUAAUAGCCCAAAACCAAAGGUCCAUCGAGUUUCCUCGAAACCCAAACAGACAUUCACGUUAUGUGCAUUGAUUUGGAGAACUAAAAGCCUUUUGCUAAUUAUUGAUUUAAAUAGUCGAAUUUGGUGGGGUUAGGCCUAACACUCUAUUUUGGAGGAAAUGAGGCACGAGGUUCCCAAAUUCUGUAUAGUAUCGAACAUUCACCCAAAGUUACUAAGCUGGCGGGAGGAUCUUCAUGGUAGUGAUCAGGUUUUUGUCUGCAAGCACUUAGGAAAUCUUCCUUCACUCCUAGAAGAUAGGCCAACUAACAAGAUUGUGGAAACUGCUACUAUGUUUUGGGAUCGAACGAUCUGUCUUUCGAUUUGGGGGUAUUGAAAUGAUGCCGUUCUUGGAAGAAAUUGGGGUCUAGCCGGAAUUCCUUGGGAUAGCCCGGGGCUACUUAUGCCAGAAAAUCGCAAAGGUAGAGUGUUCCUGAAAAUUAUGGGGGCUCAAGAAGAAUCCUAAUCUGGCCAGUUUGAAGGACUUAUACAUAUCCUUCGACUUCAUGUAUGAAAGGUUCGGACAUAGCAAAUCCUACCGCACUCACAUGGACGAGUUCGCCCUCACCUCUUUAGGGCACAUACAUAGGAGAUCUUUGUAUUCAUGUUCUAUUUCCUGGGCAUGAUAGUCUUUCCAAUGAAGAAUGCUAGAAUCCACACGAGACUAGCCAUGGUAACCAAAGCCGUAAUGGAGGGUAUCGGCGGGCAGACAUUCAGCAUAGCGCCCAUGAUCCUCGCCGAACUGUACCGAGCCUUAGAGAAAUGUCAAUUAUGCCAGAGAACCGCAAAGGUAGAGGGUUCCUGAAAAUGAUGGGGCUCAAGAAGAAUCCUAAUCUGACCAAUUUGAAGGACUCCUACAUAUCUUUCGACUUCAUGUUUGAAUGGUUAGGACAUAGCAAAUCGUACAGCACUCACAUGGACGAGUUCCCCCUCACCUCUUUGGGAAGCAUCUCCAGAAGGGGGAUUAUAGAAAAGCGAUCAUACUCCGAGAUUGGGAUGACCAUAUCGCUUUCCAUCAUCCAAAGCGAAUGCACUUCAUGCCGGGUAUGUUCGCUCGCCCGGAAGACGCUAGUGGAUGGGUAGAAAUAUUGGAGAAUCUGAAAGAAGAGCAUGUACAAUGGAUGUACGAGUGGUUUCCAACUAUGGAGUUUAUCAUUCGGUGUAGGGGCGCGCCAUUCCUUGUACUCAUCGGCUUAAGAGGAACUUACCCUUAUGUCCCUCUCCGAGCCAUGAGGCAAGCGAGAAGAAAGCAGAUUAUACCAAGAGUAGAAAAGAUGAAUCACUACAGGGUUGGUUUCCAAGAUGACGAUAGCCCACACAUGUGCCGGACUCAGCAUAUGUGUCAUUCCAAACUCAUUUUGGAAAAGGAAUCUAUGGAACCAGACAGGUAUCAGGCGGGGCAUGCGCCGUUUUAUCUGGAAUAGUUGAAAAUGAUCAUAGUGGCUUGGGGAAAACAGGUUUCGUCCAUGGUUACAGGGUUAUUGAUGAGAAGACUGCAGCAAAGGUCAAGUACAAUCAGCUUCGCAAACGGAUGCGAGAGUGUGAAAGUGAACAUCGGGAAAUAUAGAGGCCCAAGAGAAGAUAAUCAACGAGUGGAAGGACAUGGCUGUCCACACAAACAAUCGCUUAGGGUACUUGGAACGGGGUUUAGUGGAGCUGGAAGGCAAGUUUCUGAAGAGGAUCAAUAACUGUGAGGAAGCUGAAGGUAACGAAGGUGUGCACUUGGCUCGGGCUUACUUGUUGCUGGGACUGCGCGAGUUGAUGAAAUUGUACGAGGGAGGAAAAGAUACCAAAUCUGGGGAAGGUCCUUCUAGGACCAAGUAGUUAGGAUUUUUUAUUGCUUUCUUGAUGUAAUAAGGCCACUGGCCAUUAGUGACAAUUUCUCUUUAUUUCAGUUUGUUUUGACUCGUUCUAUUUUCUAUCGAUAAAAUGAAGGAUUUUUUAUUGCUUUCUUGAUGUAAUAAGGCCACUGGCCAUUAGUGACAAUUUCUCUUUAUUUCAGUUUGUUUUGACUCGUUAUAUUUUCUAUCGAUAAAAUGAGGCACUUUGUGUUAUAAGUUCUCCAAAUUUUAUCUGCCUCUAGGCUUACCUCGGGCACAACGAGGCACCUAAAUAGGAAACGACUUAUAUUCUUGCAACAACGUGUUUAAAUACCGCAAUGUUUUCUUUCUCAGAAUCUGCACUAACUUUUUAGCUUUUUCCUUUUAUUUUAUUCCCCUCCCUGAAGGUUAGUUCGUGCAUUCUGGCACCAUCAGCAUACUCAACAAGAUCUAAGGGUCCUCCUCUUCCGAGCACCCCCCAGAAACAAGAACAAAGGAAAGAUGGAAGAUAAUUAAACAAGAAAGGAAAUUGAAGGAACUUCCCAAGGUACCCCGUUCACCAAAGAGACUUCUGCUCAUUUGGAGCAAACUUUGCUAAGGUUUCGAGAGGAACUAGAUCAGGUCCAGAGUUUGGCAAGUUUGUCCAUGUCCUAUGCUGCUGCAGAUGUCAACAAUCAGGUCCCUGCACCUCCGCAGAAGACCCCAAUCCAAGCUCGCAACAAUGUUCCACCGCUCAUUCCUGAGCCCCAAAAUGCUCCAAACCACCAAGAUACUCCUAUCUUUGUGGAUACUGUGUCGUACUAUACACAGCUCAUAUCAGAUGUAUCAGAAUCAGACUCACUCAUUCAGAACUUGGCUGCUGAACUUAAGAAACUCACUAACAGGGUUCAAGGCGUGGAAGGUAAUAAAGGUGUGGAGGGUUUAAAUUAUGAAGACCUUUGUGUUCAACCUGAUGUCGAACUCCCAGAGGGGUACAAACCUCCUAAGUUCGAAAUAUUCGAUGGUACGGGUGAUCAUAGGGUUCACCACAGGAUGUAUUGUGACAAGUUAGUGGGAGCUGGUAGAGAUGAAAAAAUCUGCAUAAAGAUAUUCACAAGGAGCCUUAAAGGUGAUGCUUUAUCCUGGUAUAUCAGCCAAGAUGUUAAGAAAUGGACGAGCUGGGUAAAUAUGGCGUCCGAUUUCAUGCACCGUUUCAGGUUCAACACUGAGAAUGCGGCAGGCGUAUUCUAUAUCCAGAAUUUGAAGAAAAAGGCUAAUUAAACCUUUCGCGAGUAUGCUACUCGUUGGAGGUCGGAAGCUGCCAAGGUCAUACCGACUUUGGAAGAAGAACAAAUGAACAGGUUAUUUGUCCGUGCUCAGGAUCCGCAAUACUAUGAGAGAUUGAUGGCGAUAGAGGAGAAGAAGUUCUAUAAUUUCAUCAAACUGGGAGAAAGGAUCCAAGAGGGGAUAAAAUGGUAUGGUUACUAACCUUGAGGCACUGCAAGCCGCGAACAAAGCCUUACAAUCCGGUGGCACGUCGAAGAAAAAGGACAUAAACUCCGUAAUGGCUGCACAGAGAAACCACUCUCCCAUGAAAUAUCAACCCUACCCUCCAACUCCACUCACAUACCAACUCUCUCUAAAUUACCAGGCACCCUCACCUACCUAUCAAAAUCCACCACCGGUCUACCAAACAUCUCCAUCACCAGCAUAUAAGCAUACCUCGCCGGCAUAUUCCCAACCCGCACCUGUAUACCAAGCUUACAACUCUUAACCUCCUCUAUAUCCAUCACCACCUACCCGCCAAAAACUUCCUACGACCAAGACCAAACUUCGACCGCAAACCUCCCAGACAAUACACCGCUAUUGCCGAACCCAUUGACCAACUGUAUGAGAAGCUCAAAGCCUCUGGAUAUGUUACACCCAUCCCAACCAUAAUCCUAGAAAACCCUUUAUAAUAGAUAAACCCAAAUAAUAUAUGCGCAUACACCGCUCGAUAUGUUACACCCAUCCUAUCCAUAACCCCAGAAAACCCUUCCCAAUGGAUCAACCCAAAUAGAACUUGCGCAUACCAUUCGGGGAUCAAGGGCCAUACCAUCGACGAGUAUCGUUCGUUGAGAGAUAAAAUUCAGACCUUAAUUGACAACAAGGUCAUUGUAGCUAAAGACACUACUCCCAAUGUUUGCAAAAACCCUCUACCAGACCAUAAAGUUGGAGGCAUCCACAUGAUUAAGGUUGAAGACGACUAGGACCCCGAAGCGUCAACCGGUUUGAUAUCUGAAAUAGAUGAGCCCAAGAAGACGACGGUCACUCUUAAUACUAUUGUUGUGCAAAUCCAGCCAUCUGAGGGCAUCGUGGUGAAUAUAUUUGUACCAUUUGAGUUCGAGGCACCUCCUGAAAAAGUGCCAAAACUAAUUGAGGUGGAGUUCGGGACUCUAAAGGUGGCCACAACGAUUGAAGUUACUAUGUUGCCUCAAAGGAUGCCCAUUCCGGUCACCAUGUCAGGCACAUCCCCAUUCCAGUUAAAUGCCAUACCUUGGGACUAUACAACCUAGGCAAGAAGGAAGGGAAAAACAUGCAUGGGCGAAGCAAUUGCCGUGCAAGGUAUGACUAGAACAGGCAGGGUGUACACACCAGAGAACCUAGCUGAGUCCAGCAAGCAGGCCUUUGGACGUCCCAUUGAAAUUGGACCUGACAAUCUCUGGAGGAAGAUACAUGCUAAAGAAUAUUCAGUUGUUGAACAGCUAAAUAAGACCCCGGCACAGAUUUCCAUCUUGGCAUUACUGCAGAGUUAUGAGGCGCAUAAAAAUGCCUUGAUGAAGAUAUUGAGUGAGGCUUAUGUCCCGAGAAACAUAACAGGAGGAGAGAUGGCAAACAUGAUAGGGCAGGGAUUGCAAAGUCACAAAAAUCACUUUCCAUGAGGAUGAACGCCACCAUAAGGGCUUGGCCAUAACAAAGUACUACACAUCACUGUGCAAUGUGAAGAUCAUUUCAUCACGAGGAUCUUAGUCGACGGAGGCUCUAGCCUCAACAUCUGUCCAUUGAUCACCCUCAAGAAGUUGGUCAAAGGGUCGCAUGAGAUAAAGGAUGGGGCUAUUAACGUUAAGGCUUUUGAUGGUUCUCAUAGGACCACCCUCGGGGAGAUUAGUUUGUGUUUUCAAAUGGGCCCCACUUGGUUUGAUGUUUAUUUCCAAGUCAUCGACGUAGCGACAUCUUACAAUUUAUUGUUGGGACGAACCUGGAUCCACGCUGCUAAGGCUGUGGCAUCAACCUUCCAUCAGGCCAAGAAGUUCGAAUGGAACCAUCAGGAAGUGAUCAUCUAUUGCGACGGUAGCAACCCCAUAUACAGUCGCCAGACCAUUCCAAUGAUCGGAGGUAGAAGAAGAAUAGGCGGAGAAGCAUAUCAUCAUACUGAGCGAGUCAACACAGUGGACAAGGACAUAUGUUGGAGUAACAAGGUCAAGAGCAUUCUGAAUUGGAGUGGGUAUGAACCAGGGAAAUGACUUGGUAAGAAUCUUCAAGGCAUCACCAAACCUAUCCAGUUGAAGAAGCACGUACUACCUUCGGAUUAGGGUAGGAGUACAGUUGGCAGGAAUUCAAAAACUGGUCACCACCAUGGAGAGACCCAUAUUACCCAUUGGAAUACCGCAUACCUCAGUUGGAGCAGACAUUUCUACAAGCCAACACUCUACGGGUCAGAAGAAGACGAGGCCCUUACGGCAAUGAAGAACCUGUUUCUGGAGGAGGACAUGGACUGUUGUGUGACUUUUGAAGAGGAAUGGGAGGAAUGCCUUUCCAUUCAGGCUAUGAACUAAGGGGAGAACCUCACCAACUGGUCAAUCAGGACCCCCAUCGCUCGGAAAUCUUUGGGGUAGCAAGGCUGAACAAGCAUCGUGCAUAUUUGUUUUAGCUGUUUUCUUUAAUUUCCGCAUUGUAUUUACUUUCCAAAAGAGCUCCGAUGUUUUGAACAUUUAUGAAUUUAAUCAAAAGCGUUUUCAGUUUAUCAAAUAUCUCGUUAUUCAUUACUUUUCUCUGCUAUUUACUUUAUUUCCACACAACAUUACUAUUACCUAUCUUGAUGAUGAACCAACAACUGUAACUUGCAACAAGGCUAUGCAACAGAAGGACAUAGACUCAGAGGAAGAUGAUAUACCAUAUGAGGUUGUCAGAGAGGUCGAGAAUUUUGAGAAUAGACCAAAGUCCAACUUGGAUAAAACUGAGAUCGACAAUUUGGGAGAUACAGAGAAUGUCAAAGAAACGCGCAUCAGUGUGCACUUAUCACAGACAGAGAAAGAGGAAUAUACAGAGUUCUUAAGGGAAUAUGAUGAUAUCUUCGCAUGGUAUUACGACGAUAUGACGGGUCUCAGCACAUCCAUCGUCGGUCACAAGUUGCUGACAAACCCUGCAUGUCCGCUGGUAAAACAGAAGCUUAGAAAAUUCAAGCCAGAUAUGAGUUUAAAAAUCAAAGAGGAGGUCACCAAGCAGGUCAAAGCCAGAGUUCUUCAAGUGGUAGAGUACCCAACCUGGUUAGCUAACAUUGUUCCAGUACCGAAGAAGGAUGGGAAAGUCAGAGUUUGUGUCGACUACCGGGAUCUUAACCGAGCCAGUCCCAAAGACGAUUUCCCCUUGCCAAACAUACAUAUUCUGAUCGACAACUGCGCAACAUAGGUUGCAGUCAUUCAUCGAUUGCUUUGCGGGGUACCAUCAGAUAUGGAUGGAUGAAGAAGAUGCAGAGAAAAUGGCGUUUAUCACGCCUUGGGAAUAUACUGCUACAGAAUGAUGUCGUUCGGACUGAAGAAUGCGGAAUCUACUUAUAUGAGGGCCAUGACUACCAUAUUUCAUGACAUGAUACAUAUGUAUAUUGAGGUAUAUGUGAACAACGUCAUCAUUAAGUCCAGGAAGGCUGCAGAUCACAUGGAGGACCUUCGAAAAAUUUUCAAUAGACUAAGGAGGUAUAACUUGAAACUGAAUCCCGCCAAGUGUGCAUUUGGGGUCCCUGCGGGAAAGUUAUUGGGUUUCAUCGUGAGCCACCGAGGGAUAGAGUUGGAUCCAUCGAAAGUCAAAUUUAUUAAAGAGUUGCCACUGUCGAAGAGCAAGAAAGAGGUAAUAUGUUUCCUUGGGAGACUCAACUAUUUCAGCCGGUUCAUAGCUCAGUCUAUCGUCUUUUGCGAACCUAUCUUCAAGAUGCUAAAGAAGGAUGCCGCCACCAAAUGGACCGAUGAAUGUCAAAAGGCUUUUGACAGGAUCAAGGAAUACUUGUCUACGCCUCCAGUCCUGGUUCCGCCUGAACCUGGAAGGCCUUUAUUUCUCUAUCUUGCAGUUUUGGAUAGAGCAUUCGAUUGUGUCUUGGGAAAACAUGAUGAGACAGGGAGAAAGGAGCAAGCUAUUUACUACCUCAGCAANNNNNNNNNNNNNNNNNNNNNNNNNNNNNNNNNNNNNNNNNNNNNNNNNNNNNNNNNNNNNNNNNNNNNNNNNNNNNNNNNNNNNNNNNNNNNNNNNNNNNNAGGAGCAAGCUAUUUACUACCUCAGCAAGAAAUUUACCCCGUACGAGGCUCGGUAUUCCUUACUAGAACGCACCUGUUGUGCUUUGACCUGGGUAGCUCGGAAAUUGAGGCAUUAUUUCUGUGCUUACACCACCUACCUUGUAUCAAGAAUAUAUGCACAAAAUAUAUUUUUAGAAGCCCACGCCCACUGGCAAGCUCGUCAAGUGGCAAAUUUUGUUGAGUGAAUUCGACAUUGUCUAUGUCACCCAAAAGGCAGUUAAAGGNNNNNNNNNNNNNNNNNNNNNNNNNNNNNNNNNNNNNNNNNNNNNNNNNNNNNNNNNNNNNNNNNNNNNNNNNNNNNNNNNNNNNNNNNNNNNNNNNNNNNNNNNNNNNNNNNNNNNNNNNNNNNNNNNNNNNNNNNNNNNNNNNNNNNUAGAAAAUCCUGUAGGAGGGGAGUAUGAACCAUUGAAGACGUAUUUUCCCAAUGAGGAAGUAACGUUCAUAGGAGAGGAUAUUGCAGAAUCAUAUUACGGUUAGAGAAUGUUUUUUGACGCAGCCACAAAUUUCAAAGGAGUUGGUGUCGGAGCGGUCUUGGUAUCACAAACCGGUCAACAUUACCCGGUAUCCGCCAAGCUCAGGUUCCCGUGCACCAACAAUAUGGCCGAGUAUGAAGCUUGCAUCGUGGGGUUUAAACUGGCCAUUGACAUGAACAUUCAGGAGCUGCUAGUGAUUAGAUAUUCAGACCCGCUCAUACACCAGGUUCGAGAAGAAUGGGCAACUAAGAAUUCCAAGAUACUCCCUUAUCUGCACCACAUAGAGGAGUUGAGAAAGAGGUUCAGAAAAAUAGAAUUCUGGUAUGUUCCAAGUACAGAAUGAGUUCGCAGAUGCGCUUGCCACUUUAUCAUCCAUGAUUCAGCAUCCAUAUACAAACUUCAUCGACCCUAUCCAGGUCAAGAUUCAUUAUCAACCGGCAUAUUGUGCACAUAUUGAGAAAGAAGCCGACGGAAAACCUUGGUUCCACCACAUCAAAGGGUACCUGACAACAGGGAUAGGUCAAGAUUCAGGAUCAACAAGAAUAUUGUGCACAUGUUGAGGAAGAAGUCGAUGGAAAACCCUGGUUCCACGACAUCAAAGAGUACCUGACAACAUGAGUAUAUCUAGAGCUUGCUAAUGCUACUCAGAAGUGCACACUUCGAAGGUUUUCCAACAAUUUCUUUCACAGCGGAGGAAUCCUGUAUAGUAGGACCCCCGAUUUGGGACUAUUAAGGUGUGUCGAUGCGACAAUAGCAACCAAGUUAUUGGACGAAGUGAAAUCAGGGACUUGUGGGCUGCACAUGAACGGUUUUAUUCUAGCAAAGAAGAUACUCCGAGCAGGAUAUUUCUGGAUGACUAUGGAAACAGACUGCAAUCAGUAUGUCUGAAAGUGUCACCGCUAUCAGAUACAUUGAGAUAUGAUAAAGGUACCUCCGAACGAGCUCACUGCAACGAGCUUACCAUGGCCAUUCGCUCCCUCGGGAAUGGAUGUUAUUGGACCAAUCGAGCCUACCGCAUCAAAUGGACACAAGUUCAUCUUAGUGGCAAUUGAUUACUUCACUAAAUUGGCUGAGGCAGCCUCAUACAAGCAGUAACCAAGAAAAUCGUGGCAGACUUUGUCCGAGAUCGUGUUGUCUGUCAGUUCGGGAUUCCAGAUUCGAUCAUCACUGAUAAUGGUUCCAAUAUCAACAGCGACUUGAUGAAAGCAAUGUGCGAAACUUUCAAGAUCAGGCACAAGAUUGCACAACUUAUAGACCUCUGAUGAAUGGAGCUGUGGAAGCAGCCAACAACAACAUCAAGAAAAUACUAAGGAAAAUGAUCGAAAGACAUAAGCAGUGGCAUGAGAAGUUGUCGUUCUCCUUAUUGGUUUAUCGUACUACAGUUCGCACAUCAACUAGUGCAACUCCCUACAUGUUGGUUUACGUACAGAUGCGGUCAUUCCCGCCGAAGUAGAAAUUCCAUCCUUGAGAAUUAUACAUGAAGCUGAGCUAGAUGACGCAGAAUGGGUCAAGGGUCGCUACGAGCAGUUAGCCCUUAUGGAUGAAAAGAGAAUGAAUGCAUUUUGCCACGGUCAGUUGUACCAGAACAGAAUGUCCAGAGCCUUCAACAAGAGAGUUCGACCUAGGAAGUUCACACCGGGAUAGCUGAUGUUAAAGAAGAUAUUCCCACAUCAAGAUAAAGACAAAGGGAAAUUCUCUCCCAAUUAGCAAGGUCCAUCCGGUUCUGACUGAAGGAAGCCUUAUUCUUGCAGAAUGGACGGAGAAAUUUGGCCAAAACCGAUCAACUCAGACGCAGUGAAGAGAUACUACAUUUAAUCAGUAUGUUUUUUUCUUUAUGAUGUAAUUUGAACUACGCCUGACCUGAUUCCCAUUUAAGAGGGGAUAUGUAGNNNNNNNNNNNNNNNNNNNNNNNNNNNNNNNNNNNNNNNNNNNNNNNNNNNNNNNNNNNNNNNNNNNNNNNNNNNNNNNNNNNNNNNNNNNNNNNNNNNNNNNNNNNNNNNNNNNNNNNNNNNNNNNNNNNNNNNNNNNNNNNNNNNNNNNNNNNNNNNNNNNNNNNNNNNNNNNNNNNNNNNNNNNNNNNNNNNNNNNNNNNNNNNNNNNNNNNNNNNNNNNNNNNNNNNNNNNNNNNNNNNNNNNNNNNNNNNNNNNNNNNNNNNNNNNNNNNNNNNNNNNNNNNNCCUCCGAAGUCAGUUUGUUAGUUUUCAUAUCAGCAUCAGCCCAGUAAACUGGGGAAGAAUUUUGAUGAGGACCCUCAACAUUCUGAGGUCAUUUUCAGUCAUUCAGCACCGCCGUCAAUAAUGCCAGCUCAGUAAAAUGGAGUCAGUAAGGUUGCCAUGCCUUGAACCACGUUGCAUUUGUGGUUCAUCAAAAAACAAAACUAUCCUUUCUCUACUUAUAUAUAUAUUCAUUUGCAUCAUGAUUGCCAAAAUUUGCAUAAAAUCAUUUGGAUCAUCGUUCAGAAACACUACCCCAAAUUAUACAAGGCGCCACGAGCCGAGGGAUGCGAACUAACCUCCCCCUUACAGAACUCACGAUUUUUCUUUGGAUGGAGGAAUUCAGAAUACAAAUAGGCGAUACAUGGGCUUUACAAAAAUGAAUUUCUCGAAACCACUACUGGCCUCGCAAAUGUUUACUAUCUACAUGCAACACUUCCCCAACAGUCAUGAUAUCGCAAUCAUCUACAAGCUAAGAAAAUCACCACCACCCUCUCCGUUAUAUAUCUGCAUUUCUGCAUAAGGCUAUUCUCUGCCUUCCGAGGUUAAGAUCUACCUCCAUCCUGCAUAAGGCUAUUCUCUGCCUUCCGAUGUCAAGCUCUACCUCCAUCCUGCAUAAGGAUAUUCUCUGCCUUUCGAGGUUAAGCUCUNNNNNNNNNNNNNNNNNNNNNNNNNNNNNNNNNNNNNNNNNNNNNNNNNNNNNNNNGGUUAAGUUCUACCUCCAUCUUGCAUAAGGCUAUUCUCUGCCUUCCGAGUUUAAGCUCUACCUCUAUCCUGCAUAAGGAUAUCUUCUGCCUUUCGAGACUAAGAUCUAUCUCCAUCUGCAUUUUGCAAAAGGCUAUUCUCUGCCUUCCGAGGUUAAGCUCUACCUCCAUCCUGCAUAACGCUAUCUUCUGUCGUUCGAGGUUAAGCUCUACCUUCAUCCUGCAUAAGGCUAUCUUCUGCCUUUCGAGACUAAGCUCUGUCUCCAUCGGCAUUUUUGCAUAAAGCUAUCUUCUACCUUUCGAGACUAAGCUCUGUCUCCGUCAGCAUUUUUGCAUAAAGCUAUCUUAUGCCUUUAGAGACUAAGCUCUGUCUCCAUUGACAUUUUUGCAUAAGGCUAUCUUCUGCCUUUCAAGGUUAAGCUCUACCUCUAUCCUGCAUAAGGCUAUCUUCUGCCUUUCGAGACUAAGCUCUGUCUCCCUCUUACAGAACUCACGAUUUGUUUUUGGAUGCAUGAAUCCAGGGUGUAAAUAGGCGAUGCAGGAGCUUUACAAAACCGAAGCUACCGCACUACCUACCUCACAAAGGCUUACUCUCUACAUUGAACACUUCCCCAGUAGUCAUCGAUAGCGCAAUCAUCUACCAGCUAAAAAAAUCACUAUCAUCCUCUCAUUUAUGUUUCUGUUUUUUUUUAGACUAAGCUCUGUCUCCGUCUCAAUUUUUGCAUUGCAUAAGGCUAUUUUCUGCCUUUCGAGGCUAAGCUCUGUCACCAUCCUGCAUAAGGCUAUAUUUUGCCUUUCGAGACUAAGCUCUGUCUCCAUCUGCAUCCUGCAUAAGGCUAUUCUCUGCCUUCCGAGGUUACGCUCUACCUCUAUCCAGCAUGAGGAUAUCUUCUGCCUUUCGAGACUAAGCUCUGUUUCCAUCCUGCAUUGCAUAAGGCUAUUCUCCGCCUUCCCAGGUUAAGCCCUACCUCUUUUAUUUUACAUCCGGCUGAAAGAUCGCCACCCUGUCUCAUUUGGCUGAAACGUCGCCACCCUUUCAUUCAUUUGGCUAAAAUAUCACCACCUUGAAGUUUAAAUUCUUGCUCGGCUGAAAGAUCGCCACCCUUGAAUUCAUCCGGCUGAAAAUAUUGCUAUAUUCUCAUGGCCUGAAAUAUCGCCAACUUAUUCAAAGACAUCAUAGUUUAGAGGUAUCAUCCGCACAGCCCGAGAACACCAUUUCAUGGCCUGCGAAUCUUUAAUUUUACGCUCUUCAUAGCCUAGGACGUCAUAGUUUGAGGACGCCAUCCUAAUCGUCCGAAGACAACAUUCAUGGUCCAAGACCAUUUCAUGGCCUUCAAAUCUUUACUUUUAUGCUCUUCAUAGCCCAGGACGUCAUAAUUUGAGGACGCCAUCCUAAUCGUCCGAAGACAGCAUUCAUGGUCCAAAAGGAACUUGUAUCACGUUUAAAUUAUGCAGUAUAUCCGCUCAUCAUUCAUUUGCAGGUACACCGGCUGGCACAGUCGUCCCAGCAGGAGCGAUCCCGCUCCAGUUUUUCGCAACCUUCCGACCUCCGAACCAUUAUCAAAUCUCAAACCCCGUUGCAUCCGUCUUUUUCGAACUUUCAUCGGCAUGUUCCGCCAAUGGUCCCUGAACUACAUACGGCCUGAUUCCUGUAAAACCAGAUAUAUGUAGGCGGCUCAAAGGCCGUAGUGCAGUCAAAACUCUCUUACAAUCGCCAAUUCCGGUCAAAAUUGGCCAUCUUAUCUUUACCCGCUUCAUCCUCCUCGGGUAAAGAGGGGCAACUGUUGAUACCCAAUUUUUUCCUAUAUAUUUUUUGCACCCAAAAUACUAUUAGAAUAGUAUAUAUAUGCAUAUAUAAGCAAGUCGGGGAACUUUGGUAUUUUUCUUUAAUUUUUGAGAUAUUUUAAAAUCAUUUUACUGCUUAUUUUUUACAGUAUAAAGCCUAAAAUUAUUUUUCAAAUUAUUAUUUUUAGUGAAUAAUGUGCUUCACUCCCAUAUUUACAACAAAAUAUAAUUUAUGGAAUUUUUUCACAUAUUUUACAAAUUUAUUUGGAAUUUUAAAGAUUAAUUGCACAAAAUUGUAAUUAUGGCCAAUUUCAUAAUUAACUAUGUUUCAUAGUUAUAAAAUUAUUUCUAGUAUUUUUAGAUUAAUUUUUAUAUGUUAUUAAUUAGUUAUAUAUUUAAAUUUUACUUUUUAAACUAUUUUAGCUAUUUUAUAAAAUUAAUUGGGAGAAUUUGACUAUUUAAAAGUUAGCCAUAUUUUAUUUAAUUGUAGCUAGGGGUGUUCAAAACCGAUCCGAAACCGAAAACCGAUCCAAACCGAAGCUUAACGGCNNNNNNNNNNNNNNNNNNNNNNNNNNNNNNNNNNNNNNNNNNNNNNNNNNNNNNNNNNNNNNNNNNNNNNNNNNNNNNNNNNNNNNNNNNNNNNNNNNNNNNNNNNNNNNNNNNNNNNNNNNNNNNNNNNNNNNNNNNNNNNNNNNNNNNNNNNNNNNNNNNNNNNNNNNNNNNNNNNNNNNNNNNNNNNNNNNNNNNNNNNNNNNNNNNNNNNNNNNNNNNNNNNNNNNNNNNNNNNNNNNNNNNNNNNNNNNNNNNNNNNNNNNNNNNNNNNNNNNNNNNNNNNNNNNNNNNNNNNNNNNNNNNNNNNNNNNNNNNNNNNNNNNNNNNNNNNNNNNNNNNNNNNNNNNNNNNNNNNNNNNNNNNNNNNNNNNNNNNNNNNNNNNNNNNNNNNNNNNNNNNNNNNNNNNNNNNNNNNNNNNNNNNNNNNNNNNNNNNNNNNNNNNNNNNNNNNNNNNNNNNNNNNNNNNNNNNNNNNNNNNNNNNNNNNNNNNNNNNNNNNNNNNNNNNNNNNNNNNNNNNNNNNNNNNNNNNNNNNNNNNNNNNNNNNNNNNNNNNNNNNNNNNNNNNNNNNNNNNNNNNNNNNNNNNNNNNNNNNNNNNNNNNNNNNNNNNNNNNNNNNNNNNNNNNNNNNNNNNNNNNNNNNNNNNNNNNNNNNNNNNNNNNNNNNNNNNNNNNNNNNNNNNNNNNNNNNNNNNNNNNNNNNNNNNNNNNNNNNNNNNNNNNNNNNNNNNNNNNNNNNNNNNNNNNNNNNNNNNNNNNNNNNNNNNNNNNNNNNNNNNNNNNNNNNNNNNNNNNNNNNNNNNNNNNNNNNNNNGUGGCUAACGGAUUAAUACAUUUAAAAGCCGAUAACCGUUAAGCCAAACCGUUAAGAGUAAAAGCCGCCCAAUCCGCCCGAUGAACACCCCUAAUUGUAGCCCAAAUUGAACCCCUAUGUCAGCCCAAUUUUUAACCCAAUUUGACAAAGUAAGCCGACCCAUACCCCUUUUUAUUUACUCGACCAUCCUAGAUUCAAUCUGAGCCGCUGAUCAAAGGAGAUCAACGGUCCGGAUUUAAUUUCCUAAAUUAAAACCUAAUUACCCCUACCAUCACCCUCAUUUUUGCAAAGCCCGGUCUCUCUAUAACCCUUCGUCUCUGAUUCUCUCUAGAACCUUUUGGUUCUCUCUCUAAUCUCCGAUGGCAUUCAUCGUCGUUCCGGCCACCUCCACCCUCACUCCUCUCGACCACCACUCACCAUGGCACCUCAUCUCCGUAUUUCUCUCUAUGACUCGAAAUCCAGAAGCUUUCGCCAUGGAAGACAGUCGGUUGAAGCUUGCUUGGGUCUGUGCCAGUUUUUCUCCGGUGGUUUUUACACGACAAUGCUCUAUAUGGCCUUGAUGAUGAGUUUCACGGCCAUGUUGCUCCUAUCUAUAACUCGUCUGCAAACCCUAAUUUUUUCUAUUCAAAUCUCUUUAAUCUUUUUACUUUAGAAUGAUUUCUCACUCAAUUUUUCAAGUUGUCUCAUGUUUUUCGAUGAAUUUUUCGUUCUCAAAAUUAGGGUUUCUGACCCCUUUUUUCAAAAUCGCUUCUUCUGAUUUUCUUGAGUGUUAUGCGAUUGUUCGUGCUUGUUUGUAUUACGAGUUUUUUUUUGGUUCCUUGUAAACCUCGGUUCCAUGCCUUAAUUUUCUUGCUAGUUUUCCGACCCUUUGUUGCUUCCAUGCUUUUACUUGCUUAGGGUUCUCUGAAUUUCUUGUCUAUUAGGCUUUAUAGGCCUAAAUUGUUCAUCUUUCGGAAUAUUCUACUGACAUCUCUGUUAAUCUAUGAUUUGUAUGUGAUUUUCCUUAGACGUUUUAUUGAUUUCUUUUGAAAUUACUUCCUUAUUUGGGUAUGCUUUCCAUACUUAGAAACAAUUCCCUCUAACUUAGGUCUUGCGCGAGAUUCUUUAACUAAUUAUUAGAAUUGGCUUGCAUGCUCUCGUUAUUUAAGAGACAAUUCUCUCUUAUUUUGGGUUUUGCCCGUGAUUCUUUGACUAAUUGUCAGACUAUUUUGUAUUCCCUUACCAUAUUUGUGCAUGAACAGGCUUUCAAAAUCUUAAUCAUAUAUUUUCCUUACUUAAAUUACUAUUAAUCUAACCAUUAUUGCAUAUUAUAUGCUAUACUACUCUUACUAAGGUAAAUGCAAUAGUUUAAUUGAUUCCUUUCCUUCUAAAACCCUCUGUUUGUUACCGCUUGUCUUGGAUUCCUUAAUUAAAAGGGAGUCCUUAUACUUAUUUGAUUGUAAUUGAUACUAGUCCCGUUACCGAUUGUCUUUGAUUCCUUAAUUAAAAGGGAGUCCUUAUACUAAUUUGAUUGUGAUUGAUACUAGUCCUUAAUCAAAGAUUAUUGCUUGUUUAUGUACUCGUUUUCCAGUACUAUAAAUACUCCCCCCUUUUCUCUUUGAAGGACACCAACACACACUACACACUCUAUGAAUUCUCUCUUUCUCUGCUAUUACUAUACUCUCUCAUUCUCUUAUUUGAACAUUCAAUCAGCUGAAAGCCAAUAUUGAGUAGCUCGGGUUGAUUACUUCUAUACUACUGGGUUCUAUUGUUUGUUUACUUGGGUUUGCUACUGCUGCUACUCUUAUACUGCUGCUGCACACUGUUAUUCUCUUCGCUACUCACACACUCUGAUCACCUUGUUCUUCCGUGCACUAUUGCUCACUGCUAUUGUGUUCUAUUACAUGCAACUGGUAUGUCAUCCCUUUAAGAUAUAGUUUCUAAAACAACAUGUUUCUAUUAUUUUUGCAUUUCAUAUUGUUCAUUGUGUGCUUUUACUUAUGGUUUUGUUGCUCUUUUUUGUCACUAGCAUGCACUUACUAGUCUACUUAGUUUAGCUUAACAUACUCCCCUUACCCCUUUCUUGUCUCAAUGAAUGUUUUCCUUUCCCUUGUGCAUUACGACUAUGUGUCCAGUGCUGCUUGGCUACUUGAUUAGCCCUAUACCUCUGCUUGAUUGGGGUUUGGUGUAGUAAGAAUUGAACCCCUGAUUCUGCAACUAUGUUUGAUUACUUUCCUCCAAUAUGUUGCAUGUGUGUGAGUAGUUCACUUUACUUAUUUGGUCCCUUCCCCCUCUCCCCUAUUUGUGUGAUGCUCUGAAAAGGUCCAAAUGAUUUAAGAAGAAUUUUUUUAACUCUUUCAACUGUUUUCUCAAACUGUCUCAACCUUUUUAACUGUUUUUCUCAAGCUAUCUCUUAGUUGUUUUUUAACUCUCUCAAUUCUAUCACAAUCUCACUACUCUAAGAACAUUAGGUUCCGCCCCCUUAGUGUAAGCAUCGCCACGGGAGCCCUUGAGCACCCAUUGAACGUUGAUGCACAAGACUUGCACUUCCACACUUGCACUUGUCUAAUAAUGAUAUUUUGGGUGAUUGGUAUAGGCCAGGGGUUCAAACGAAUCCCUAGGGAACUUUGCCGCACCCAAGCCUUGGUAAUGGUUGUGAAACUCGAAAGAAGUGAGGUUGGAGAUGCUUGGCCUGGCUGAAGGCUCGCUAUAGAGUAACUUCGUAUUUUCUUUUAUCACUGUUGUAAUUUAAUUACUUGGGCUGUAAUAAUUUGUAAAGAACAAUGUGGAUUAUAGUGAAUUGGGAGGGCUAUGCAUGUUUAUUUAAGGGAAUGGGUAGAAAACAUGUCUAUAGGCCUUUAUUUACCUAUUUGUGCAAUAGAUACCAUGUUUUAGGACAUGCAUCCUCACAUAUAGAAAUCAAAGGGAAUGGGUAGAAAACAUGUCUAUAUGAUUUUAUUUACCUAUUUGUGCAAAAGAUACCAUAUUUUAGACAUGCAUCUCACAUAUUGAAAUCAUGUUCUUUGGAUCUUCAGUUUCAGUUUGUUAUUCUGAAUAUUUUUAUAACCAUGACUAAUUAAUAAUCAUCAAGUCAUCAACCUCACAUUUAAAUAUCAUGAUCAUAGUAAUUUUGUGCAUUAGAUACCAUGCCUUUAAGGAUUUAAUUUGCAGUUGUUUACUUCGUUUAUCUGGGUUAAAAAUUGGUUAACAGCUCCCUCUUUAAUACUGGAAGCAAAUGUGCAUGCUCGUCAUCCUUUAAUAACGUCUAGGCAAGCCUUAGGCCGGAUAAAAUGGGCUAAUCACCUCUAAGUCAUGUUCGAACUAAAUCUGCCUCUGCCUGAACUCGUCUGUUUCUGAAUUUGUCUAAAUGUUUUAUUAACUUCUGCCCUAGUUUAAUACUUAUGCAAGUGAUUUCUACUUUAACCAGAACUUGCCUACUAUUUUCCAUACAAUAUAAAAAUUUUUUAUAAACUUCUGCCCUAUUUUAAUACUUAUGCAAGUGAUUUCUACUUUACCCAGAACUGACCCACUAUUUUCAAACCAUAUAUGCAAAAGUUUUCUACUGUGUUUUCUCGUCCAGCACUUGGCUAGCUAUCUUGUAAUCUUCAAGGGUUUAAAACCUGACAUGUGUUCCUUUAUACUUCUGCAAUCUCAAAAUAUUUCCAUAUCUAUUCUUCUAUUCUGCUUGUCCAAAAACUGUGUUCCACAAACAUUUUGAAUAUAUCUGUAGAUUUUCUAAAACUGCUACUACCUCUUUGAAAGUUCUGAACGUUUUCCCUUGUGUUACUUUUCUACAAAAACUUCCAAACUUCUAUUUAAUUUAUAUUCUAGUUUUUCGAAAGAUUCUUCUUUCCCUAGAUCUUAAAUGUGUUCGAUUCGUGCUAAUUAUGUGUUCGUAUAUAGAGGGAUAUUUGAGUCGUUUACAUGCUUAUAUGUUUCCCUUUAUGUGCAAAUCCUAUUUGUUCUUGAAUGACAUUUAGAAUUUUAACCUUUUAACCUAGAGGUUUAGCCUACUCCCUACCUAAUAGGAAUAUUGAUCCUAAAUGCCCUCUAGUAUCUAUAGGAUGGGACUCGUACUCAGAAACCUUGUACUCUCACGAGUCUAACCAUAUAAAAAUCUCCCAUAUCGGAGGUCAAAUGCCCCUACAAAUCCUCACAAUUAGGUCUAAUAAGUUUACCCAAAUUUUCAUUCAAAAAUUCAAAAUUAAAGGUUUAAUUCACGAUUAGAUUAGUGGUUUUAGUCAUAGGAGAGUAAGGAAUCAUUACCCAAUAUUUGCCUCUGAAAAGCCCUCAAAAAAUCUCCCAAAACCGAACUCUCUAGCUUGAGUUUUUGUAAAAAUGGAAGAAGGGUUUGUUUUGAUAUGUUAAAUACUGGUUAGGGGUUUAAUGAAUCGCGAACGCGGGAGGUCCACGCAUUCGUGUAGAGGAAAAAUAUAUGUGACCAUAUUUCCCCUUCGCAAUCACGAAGGGACAAUGCGAACGCGAUGGCUUGGGGGCCUGAUAGGUACGCGAACGCGAAGGGAAUACGCGAACGCGGAGAAGGAACUAGAGGGGGUCUAGGACUUGAACAUCGCGAACACGUGAAAUGGGACGCGAACGCGGAAGAGGGGCUGGCUGAACUUCGCAAAUGCGAGAGAACAAAAUAACUACAAUGAAAGGGUAAGGGCACAGCUACGUGAAGGUGAUGCCCCUUCGCGAUCGCAUAGAAGGAACCACUUACUGCAAAUUUUCUGCUGCACUUUCAAGACUCCAAAUGCUCCGUUGAGCAUCCGAAAAUCACCCAAGGCCUCCGGGACCUCAACCAAAACCACAGACAUAACCCAUAACAUCAUUCAAAAUUGUACCAGUCCUUAAAGCACCUAAAACAACGCCUAAAACUCGAACUAAUCAAUAAUUUGAACUUAAAAACUUCAAAACUUAACCAAACUCGCUUUCGAUAAAAAACCUAACCAAAACACGUCCGAUUGACCUAAAAAUUUUGCACGCACAUCCCUAAUGACAUGAAGGUGCUACAAAAACUUCCGGAAUCUCGUUCCGACCCUCGGAUCAAAAUUUCACUACCGGACCAAAACUUUAAAAUUCUAACUUUUGGUAUUUCUAGCCUAAAUGAACUACGGACAUCCAAAAUACAUUCCGAACACGCUCCCAACCCCGAAAUAACCUAACGGAGCUAAAAGAACCAUCAGAUUUCCAUUCUGAGGUCGUCUUUACACUGUUUGAUUACGUACUAUUUUCCAACACUCAAGCUCUUAUUUAGGGACUAAGUGUCCCGAAACACUCCAAAUUUCUAUUACCAAACAUACCGGUAAAUCAAAAUAGAAAAAAUAAACUUAGGGGAAGCAGUUAAUGAGGGAACAAGGUAUAAAUUUCAAAGACGACCGGCCGGAUCGUCACAUAAAACUUUAGGACAUCAUAUCCUUAACUUUAUAUGUGUAGUGCAAUUAGUAAGGACAUAGUAUCCUUAACUUUAUUUGUAUUGUGUAAAUAUUAAGGACAUUGUGUCAUUAACUUCAUGAGUGUUGUGUAAAUAUUAAGGACAAAGUGUCAUGUAUUUUCACCUCCUAUUGUUAAACUUUAGGACAUGUUGCCCUUAACUUAAUGAAUGUUUUGUAAAUAUUAAGGACAAAAUAUCCUUAAUAUUUACAUAUCACUCAUGAAGUUAAUAUUUACACAUCACCCAUGAAGUUAAUAUUUACACAUCCUCAUGAAAAAGGGUAAUAAUGUCUUUUCAUAUUAAUUUUAAUGGAGUAGUGACUAUCAUUGCUCAGCAUAAAAAAGUAUUGGAUAAAAGCUAAACACCACAUUAAAAAGUGGUUAUCCCACGCCAUUUCUACUUAAUCAAGGGUGAAACUGGAACUGCUCUAGAAAUAUUGUCCAUGUUUUUUUUAUAGAAAUGAUACCAUGUAGCCACUCUAAAGGCUUGCUAUUUAGAAAUUAGCCGGUGUAUCCUCAACUUUAGUUUUUCCUUUGAGCUUUUCAGGAUAAAAAUGUCCUAUUUUUUCUUAAAUUUAAGAUUUUUAGUUUAAAAUUUUAGGUCUAAAUAAGUAUUGGCUAAUCUCUAAAUAACAUCCUUGAAAAUGACUAUCUGUGUGUUUACCCCAUGUUUUUGAAUAUAUUUAGAAAAUGAUCGUUAUAUUGGUUGUUAGGGAUUUCUCUAUCAAGCUGAUAGAUUUUUUGCUAUAUUUGCUCUACUUAUUUUGUUAAUUAUUUACAAAUUCUAUCCCGUUGGCAUAACUUUGUAAUUGUUCAAUUGCUCACCAAACUUUAUCAUAUUGCUAUAACUUUAUGUUAUUUGUAUGUGAUAUGCAGUCAACCCUCUAUGUAAUAUCAUCGAUUGUUCCAGUAUUUUUUUAGUUUUUAUAGUGAAUGGUUAUUAUACACCUAUAACCGCAUUUGACGUUUAAAUAUUUUUUGGUUGUUAUAGAUAAAAAUUAUCCAACAAAUAAUUAUUUUUCCUUUUCUAAUGUUACAUAUGAAAAAUAAGACAAGUAUUAAAAUUUAAAAUCUCAAAAAUAUGCAUAUUGUUCUAAUUAAAUACUAAGAAAAGUUAAUACAUUAUUAAUAAAUUCAUAACUAAAAGUAUAAAAAUUUAAACUCUAAGACAGACAUUUCUAAAUCUACCUAAAAAUAUAUAAAAACUCAAAAUUGAUGGAAGAACUUUGCAAUUAUAGCUUGUUUCGUGUAUUUCAUUCUCUUACAAUCGAUAUAACACUGAAUUGCUGCAGAUUCGUGUCCAAAUUUUCAGCAGAAAAGUAUCCAAUGGCUUUAUCUUGAAGACAAUCUAAUAGCAUAAUUCAAUUUUUAUUCAAAUAUUUUUAAAAUAAUUCCAAAAAAAAAAAGAUAUCAUGUGCAAAUCUUUAAAUCUUAUAGCUAAUAUAAGAUAGAAACUUUGUUUAAUGGAAAAGAUUGGUACAGAUUUUUAGAAUUACCAGUAUAUAUGAAUGUGUGUUGCACACUAAUUAUAGCACAUGGUGGUUUAACCAUUUAAAUCAUCUGAAAUUCAAAAAUAUUAUUACAUUAGCAUAAUAGGCGAAUUCAAAAUAAAAGGACUUCAUUAGAACUUACACAAAUAAUCAAUUAAUCAUGUUAGUUAGAUAGUUACGUAUUAUAGUAUAGCAUUAUUUAAUUUGACGGUAUCUUACCGAAUACUUAUUUGUAGAUUAAUUAUUUUAUGUAUGUUUCCUUCUAAUAUUUUGGUUGAUCCGCCAUAACUAGAGCUCAUGUUCUCGAUAUUGAUACUCCUCUUUAUAGUGCAACAUAUAGUUGUUAGUGCAAUAAAAUAUAUUGCGAUAAAUAUAGUCCAAUAUUUAAGAUGUUUGUUCUCGGGGUAGGGGUAAGGACUGCGUACAUAUUACCCUCCCAGACCCCACUUUUGGGAUCAUACUGGGAUGUUGUUGUUGUUGCAAAAUAUAAAUAUACCAAAAAUUAUUUUCACAUAAAUUUAAAGGAUAUUCUUUAGAUUCUAAAGACGAAAAUUGGAUUCUGGGAUUAAAAUAUGCUUAAAAAUACAUUGACUAGUAUCAUAAUUUUUGCACGUAUAACAUUAUUUUCAAAACUUCUAUAUACCAUCUAUAUGUUGUUACAUAGGCUAUUCAGCGGAUCUAAGUUUUUCAGUAGCAUGACGGGCAUAGUUUUCUUCAAAAUCAAUCUAUAUAAAAUGGAAGAUCAAUUUUAAAUUAGUGUAUUACAUAUACAUGACAUACAUAAGAAAAAAUAAUCUUGACAACAAACAUGUAUGAUGGAAGACCAUUUAGUAUUAAAGUAUUUAAAUAUUCUUCUUAGUAGCAAUUGUUGGUAUCAUAUUCUGCUGAGUCAAAAACUAAAAAUAUCUUAAUUUUAUAAUAACAUUUUGCAAUUAACCUUUUUAGUUAGUCAAUCAACAUAUUCAUUUCUCCUAACUUAGUGUAACGACCCGGCUAGUCGUUUCAAGAGUUGUAUCCCAGUUCCCCUACUUUCUGCUUCUUUUUUGUUCUACAGCUGUAUUGUGACUUAUCGGGUUAGUUGGUUCAUGUCUGGAGUGAUUUCGGAGUGAAUUAAGAUACUUAGUCUUUUAUUUGGAAGCUUAAGCUGGAAAAGUUUACCCGAUGUUGACUUAUGGGUAAAUGACCUUGAAUUUAAAUUUUGAUGGUUCUGUUGUCUCCAUAAGGUAAUUUUGGAGUUGGGAGCGCGUCAAAAUUUUGAUUUGGAGGCCAGUAACAGAAUUAGAUUUGAAUUGACGAAAGUUAGAAUUUCGGAGAGUUUGACUGGAAGUGAACUUUUUUUAUAUCGGGCUCGGAUUGGAGUUUCUGAAGUUAGAGUAGGUUUGUGGUGUCAUUUAUAACUUGUGUGCAAAAUUUAUGGUCAAUUGGAUGUAGUUUGAUAGGUUUCAACGUAAUUUGCAAAAUUUGAAAAUUUCAAAGUUCAUUAGGCUUGAAUUCAUGUGUAAUUCAUGUUUUUGAUGUUGUUUGAGUGGAUUUGAGGAUUUGACUAUGUCCAUAUAGGGUUAUAAGACUUGUUGGUAUAUUUAUGAGGUCCCGGGGACAUCAGGAUGAUUUUAGGUGGUUAACAGACGUGACGUUUGAUGUUGAAGGACGGCUGAAGUUGUGAUGCUUCUGGUGUAACCGCACCUGUGGAGUGGUCACCGCAUGUGCGUGGCCGUAGAAGCGGGAAGAGGGACGCAGAAGCGAACUAGGCGAAGAAAAGCUGGAACCGCAAAUGCGAAUUCUUUCCCUCAACUGCUAGGCCGCAGAUACUGGUAUUGGGCCGCAGAAACGCAUGGGCGCUAGGUGAGUGAGCUUCGUAGAAGCGGACAACCCACUGCAGAAGGUGUCCGUAGAAGCGGUUAACUGAACCGUGGGUGCGAUUUUGCUGAGCAGAACCUAUAAAUAGAAGACUUCGAGAUUUUUCAUCUUUUUUACAUUUUGGAACUUAGAUUUUGAAAUGAUUACUGAGGUAAGCUUCUUGUGCCCAUUUAUCUUUAAUAAUAAUAUUUUCCCACUAAUUUUACACCUAGAUGACGAGUUUUUAAGGUAUAAUUUUGGGGUUUAUGGCUUGAGAAUUGGAGAGUGAAUUUUGGGGAUUUGAGUGACCAAAUGGUGUUAGAUUUUUGUAAAUUUAGUAUGGUUAGACUCGUGAGUGAAUGAAUUUCGGGUUUUGUGAGUUUUGUCGGACUUCGAGACCUACUCCUGGGGGCUGGGUUGUGCCAAUUUCGGAUUUUUGGGUCUAAGUUAGUAGUUUUUAUUGGAAUUGAUACCCUUGGCCAAUAUUGAUUGUAUUGUACUGCUUGUGGCUAGAUUCAGGGCAUUGGGAGGCCGACUCGCGAGACAAGAGCAUUUUAGAGUAGAGUUUUGCUCGAAUCGAGAUAAGUAACAGUUAUAAAUCUGGUAUUGAGGGUAUGAAACUCUAGAUUUAGGCUAUUUGCAGGUGACAUACAUGUUAGGUAACGGGCGUGUGGGCGUGCACCGAAGGGAUUGUGACUUGGUCUAUCCCGUGUGACUGUAAUGUUGAAUAGCUUACUAUUAUCUACGUGUUUCCUCUAUUUUAUGGAGAUUUGACUGAAAUUCAUGUUCAUGCUUAGGCCAUAUGAUAUCACUAUUGGGACUCGUUGAGGUCGUGUACUUGUCAAAAUAGUUCCUACUUGCUAUCUUAUACUCUGUCAUGAUUUUACUUGUGUACCAUACCUCUAUCUCUUCUUAUUCCUCAUUGAUACAUGUUAUUAUCUCUGUUUGGGCUGAUUUAUAUGAUUUCUGAGAGCCUGAGAGACUAGGGAGAUUGAUGAUUGAGUGAGGCCUUGGGCUCGACGGUGAGUUAUUGAUACCAUAGCACGUGAGUUAUCCGUGCAACACGCGAGUUGUCCGUACGAAUCUUGAUUUGAUAUUAUUGCACAUGAGUUGUCCGUGUGGAUUAUAGAGCUUGGGUUAUAGGAGCCCUUUCGGAGCCUGCACACCCUAGUGAUUGAUUGAGCUCUUGAGAUGAGUUGAGUGACUGUUUCAUGUGAGGUUGUACUUGCUUUCAUUUGUUGUUUGUGCUUAGUUGAUAUUUGUCAUUGUUGUGAAAUUCUUGGAAGGUUUUAUAUCCAGUUUACUUGAACUUGACACUUUAUGAUGGCUUAAACUACCGGAUUUGAAAGCAUGUAUAUUCUUCACAGAAAUACUAAAAUAAAUUGUACUGUAUAGCCUGUCACUACUUCUUAGUUCCUUAUUUGAUUUUGUUACUUAUUUAGUUAGUUGUACUCACACUACACCAUGCACUUCAUGUGCAAAUCCAGGUGCGUCCGGUCACGUAUGACAUUGAGCUCGUGCGUGGUCGAUUACCAGAGAUUUACGAGGUAGCUGUCGGCGUUCGCAGUCCUUGUUCUCCUUCUUUUCUAUGUUGACAUUUCAACACAGAUCAUUGUAAACACUGUCUCUUAUUCUAGAGAUCUAGUUGCGCGUGACUUGGUGACACCUCAAUGUUUGGGGCUAUCUUUCUGCAUUAUAUUUUGAGUUUAACUCCUAUUUUUAUGAAAACCCUGUUAUGAAAAAAGCUUUUGGUAUAUAUUUUAUGAGAUAUCGAAUUACUUUGAAAAUUGUCUUGCCUAGUACCAUUGAUAGGUGCCAUCACGACAAAUUAGGGUUUUGGGUCGUGACAAGUUGGUAUUAAAGCCUAGGUCACACAGGUCUAACGAGUCAUGAGUAGGUUUAGUAGAGUCGUAUGGAUCGGUAUGGAGACGUCUGUACUUAUCUUUGAGAGGCUUAAGAACCCUUAGGAAACUUCACAUUCUUGAAUUCUUAUCAUGCAAAUCUGUUGAUUCUGUAAUCAAAUUUCUAUUAUUCUAUUCUCUCACGGAUGGUGAGGACACGUGCUACUAGACAGGAUGGACAACCACCAGUACCACCAGUUAGGGCUGUGAGAGGCUAAGGUCGCGGUAGAGGCCGUGGUAGGGUCAGAGGUGCAGCUCGCACAACAACUAAGGCAACACUUGUAGAUCUACCGGUUGUCCCAGUUUAGGAUCCUGUCCAGUUAUUGAUGCGCUAAGGGGACUAGCUCAGGCACCAAUUGUGCCCAUUAUUAUUAGGCCUUCAGGAGGCCUUGGUGCAGAUAUUGACCUUGUGUACCAGUCUUGCUCGGGCGGUCUCUUUUCCGGCCACAGUACCCACUUCUCAGGCUGGGGGAAGUACUUAGACUCUCGCCACUCGCACACCCGAGUAGGUGAUGCAGGGACUCUAGACACCGAGAUAUCGCAGCCCAGCCGGUUCUAGUUGUUCAGGACUAUGUGGUUCAUGUCAUGCCCGAUGAUAAGCAUCAUAUAUUGGAGAUGUUUGGGAGGCUCAAGCCUCCAUUUUUCAGCGGUGCAAAGGGAGAGGAUGCCCAUGGUUUCCUUCAUAGAUGUUAGAGGAUUCUCCCAAUAGCAGGUAUUUUGGAGGCCAGUGGGGUCUCGUUCACUAUUUUUUAGUUCACAAGAGUUGCCUUCACUUGGUGGGAGGCUUAUGAGAGGCGUAUGCUAGUUGGUGCAGCGCUACUUACAUGGCAGGAAUUCUUCGUUCUAUUCUUGGAGAAGUAUGUACCGCAGUCUUGCAGAGAGGAGUUGCAUAGACAACUCGAUUAUUUGCAUCAGGAUGAUAUGUUUGUGAUGUAGUAUGAGAUUAGAUUUUUUGAGUUAACCCAUUGUGUUGUUUAGGUGGUUCUCAUAGACGUGGAGAGGAUCAGGAGGUUCGUUGAUGGCCUCACAUUUCAACUGUAAGUGAUUAUGACUAGAGAGAGGGUGACUGGUGCUACAUUUGAUGAGGUGGUUGACAUUGCUCGAGAGAUAGAGUCUGUCCGCAGCCAGGAGCAAGUUGAGAGGGUGGCCAAGAGGCCUCGUGGAUCAGGUAGUUUUGGUGGUUUUCCUUAUUGAGGUUAGUUCCAGCACGUCAUAAGUCAUUUUUAUAGACAUGCUCAGACGACCCGACCAGUUCAUUGUGAUGGGUUAGUCAGCCACAGUUCUCACAUUGCUCGCUCUGGCCAACCUUCAUUUAGUGUACUACCAGUUCAGAUUUCCCACCAUUCCUCAUCCUCUCAGCUUUUUACGGGUAGUUCCGUCAGAGGAAGGGUUGUUUCGAGUGCGGGGAUCUUGGUCCUCUCAAGAGAGAUUUCCCUAGGUUGUUGGGCAGGACUCCACAAUAGAGUUAUUGGUGAUUAGAACUAACACUAGUAGCUAUACCACCCGUUUUGCCAGCUCGGGUGGGCCCUAGUAAGCUAGAGGUUGCCCUAUAUGGGGAGGCCAAUCAGGUGGCGAUCAGCUCAUUUCUAUGCACUCCCUGCCAGACCAGAUGCCGUUGCUUUAGACACAGUGAUCACGGGUAUUAUCUUUGUAUAUCAUCGAGAUGCUUAUGUAUUAUUUGACCCUGGUUCCACCUAUUCAUAUGUGUUGUCGUAUUUUGUUCAUUAUCUAGACAUGCCCCAUGAGUCUCUAGUUUUAUCUUUUCAUGUAUCUACGCUAGUAGGCGAUACUAUUGUUGUGGACUACAUAUUUCGAUUGUAUGUAGUGACUAUUAUGAGAUUAAAGAGCAUAGUUUAUUUGUUGCUACUUAGUAUGGUUGAUUUUGAUGUGAUAUUGGGUAUGGAUUGGUUGUAUCUAUUUCACUUUAUUCUAGGCUGUCACACUAAGACUGUGAUAUUGGCGAUGCCGGGGUUGCCAUGGAUUAAGUGGAGAGGUAUUUAGACUAUGUUCCUAGUAGAGUGAUUUCAUACUUGAAGGCCCAACAUAUGGUUCUGAAGGGUUGUCUUUCCUAUUUGGCCUUUAUGAGGGAUGUCAGUGCAGAGACCCCUGUUGUUGAUUCUGUUCUGGUGGUGUGAUAUUUUUCGGAUGUGUUUUUUGUAUACCUAUUAGGCAUGCUGCUGAACAUGAAUAUUGACUUUGGUAUUGAUUUGGUGCUGGCACUCAGCCCAUUUCUAUUCCACCGUAUCAUAUGGAAUCGGCGGAGUUGAAGGAAUUGAAGGAGUAACUUUAGGAACUCCUUGAUAAGGUGUUUAUUUGGCCUAACAUGUCAUCUUGGGGUGCACCAGUUCUAUUUGUAAAGACGAAGCAUGGUACCAUAAGAACAUGCAUUGAUUAUAGGUAGUUGAACAAAUUCACAAUGAAAAACAAGUAUCCCUUGCCUCGUAGUGAUGAUCUAUUUGACCAGCUUCGAGGAUUGAGGGUGUUCUCCAAGAUUGAUUUGAGGUCAGGUUAUCACCAGUUGAAGAUUAGGGACUCGAACAUUCUUAAGACAACUUUCAAGAUCAGUUAUGAUCAUUUUGAUAUUCUUAUGAUAGUUUUUGGGCUACCUAAUUCCCCAAUAGCAUUCACGCAUUUGAUGAACAAUGUGUUUUGACCUUAUCUUGACUUGUUUGUUAUUGUAUUCAUUGAUGAUAUCCUGGUGACUCUCGUAGCUAGGAGGAGUGCACCCAACAUUUGAGUGUUGAAUUGCAUCAAUUGAGGGAGGAGAAGCUUUAUUCUAAGUUCUCCAAGUGUGAGUUUUGGCUCAGUUCAGUGGCUUUCUUGGGGCACGUGGUGUCCAGUAAUGGUAUUCAGGUUGAUUUAAAAAAGAUAGAUACAGUUUAAAGUUGGCCCAGACCGUCCUCAACUACAGAGAUUCAGAGCUAUCUAGGUUUGGCUGAUUAUUACCUUUAGUUCGUUUAGGGUUUCUCGUCUAUUGUAUUGCCCUUGACCUAAAAAAGGUGCUAAUUUCAGGUGGUUGGAUGUAGUGUGAGGUGAGCUUUCAGAAGCUCAGGACUGCCUUGAUCAUAACUCUAGUCCUAGUUCUACCAUCAGCUUAUGGUUCUUAUACAAAAUAUUGUGAUACUUCUCAUAUCGAUAUUGGGUGUGUGUUGAUGCAGGGGGUAGAGUAAUUGCUUAUAGUUCACGCCAGUUGAAGCCCCAUGAGAAGAACUAUCGUGUUCAUGAUUUGGAGUUGGCUGCCAUUGUUCAUGCGCUGAAGAUUUGGAGACACUAUCUCUAUGGUGUGUCUCUUGAGGUAUUUACUGAUCAUCAUAGUCUUUAACACUUGUUCAAAUAGAAGGAUCUCAAUUUGAGGCAGCAGAGAUGGUUGUAGCUGCUAAAGGACAAAUUAUAUUACUAUUCUAUAUCAUCCGGGAAAGAUCAAUGUGGUGGCCGAUGCCUUGAGUAGGAAUAUAGAGAAUAUAGGUAGUCUUGCAUUCAUUCUUGUUGGGGAGAGACCUCUUGUAGUUGAUGUUCUAGCUUUUGCCAACCAGCUUGUGAGAUUGGAUAUUUUGGGGUCCAGUCGGGUUCUAGCUUGUGUGGUUUCUCGGUCUUUCUUAUUUGAUUGCAUUAGAGAGCACCGGUAUGAUGAUCCUCAUUUGCUUGUCCUCGAGGAAAGAGUUCAGCACGGUGGUGCCAGAGAUAUGAAUAUUGGUGAUUAUGGGGUGUUGAGAAUGUAUGGCUGGAUAUGUGUGCCCAAUAUGAUGAGCUACGGAAGUUGAUUCUUGAAUAAGUCCACAGCUCGCGGUAUUCUAUUUAUCAGUGUGCCGCAAAUAUGUACCAGGAUUUGAGACAACACUAUUGAUGGAGGAGAAUGAAGAUAUAUAGUUGGUUUGUAGCUCGGUGUCUCAACUAUCAGCAGGUAAAAUAUGAGCAUCACAGAUCGGGAAGCUUGCUUCAGAAAAUAGAGAUUCUGGAGUGGAAGUGGGAGCGAAUCACCAUGGAUUUUGUAGUUAAGCUCCCAUGUACUUCGAGGAAGUUCGAUUCCAUUUGGGUGAUUGUGGAUCGCUUGACCAAGUCCGCACACUUCAUUCAUGUGAGUACUAUGUAUUAUUCAGAUCGAUUGGCUGAUAUUUACAUUAGAGAGAUUGCUCUCCUGUACGAUGUACAAGUUUCUAUCAUUUUAAACAGAGGCACGCAGUUUACAUCACAGUUUUGGAGAGCCGUGCAGUGAGAGUUGGGAACUCAGGUUGAAUUAAGCACAACAUUUCACCCUUACGUCACAGUUUUGGAGAGCUGUGAAGUGAGAGUUGGGAACUCAAGUUGAACUAAGCACAAUGUUUCACCCUCAGGCAGAUGGACAGUCUGAGUGCACUAUUCAGAUAUUUGAGGACAUGCUACGCGCUUGAGUCACUGAUUUUUGUGGUUCAUGGGAUCAGUUUCUACCACUCGCAAAGUUUGCUUACAAUAAUAGCUAUCAGUCGAGUAUUCAGAUGGCUUCGUAAGAGGCUUUAUAUGGGAGAGUGUAAAUCCCCAGUGGGUUGGUUUGAGUCGGGCGAUGCUAGGCUAAUGGGUACUGACUUAGUUCAUGAUGCUUUGGACAAGGUGAAAUUGAUUUAGGAGCAGCUUCGCACUGCUAGCCGAGAUAUAAGAGUUAUGCUGACAGGAAGGUCCGUGACGUACCUUACAUGGUUGGGGAGAUGGUUCUCCUGAAGGUAUCACCUUGAAAGGUGUUAUGAGGUUCAGGUAGAAGGGAAAGUUGAGCCUUCAGUUCAUUGAUCCUUUUGAGGUACUUCAGAGGAUUGGGAAGGUGGCUUACAAGCUUUCCGUACCACCUAGCUUAUUGAGUAUGCAUUCGAUAUUUCAUGUUUCUAUGCAUCGGAAGUAUAUCGACGAUCCUUGUCAUGUUUUAGAUUUUAGCACGGUUCAUUUGGACGGUGAUUUGACUUAUGAUGUAGAGAUGAUAGUUAAUUUGGAGCGGCAGGUUUGGAAAUUAAGGUCAAAGGAUAUAGCUUCAGUGAAAGUGCAUUAGAGAGGUCAGCCAAUGGAGGAGGCUACUUGAGAGAUCGAACGGGAGAUGCGGAGCAUAUAUCCAUGCCUAUUUAUGGCUCCAGGUAUGUUUAUAUAUGCGUUUGAGGACACACAUUUGUUUAUGAGGGGUAGGGUGUAACGACUCGACUGGUUGUUUCAAGAUUUGUAGCCUUGUUCCCCUAUUUUCUGAUUCUUUUGUAUUCUACAGUUGUACUGUGACUUACUGAGUUAGUUAGUUUGGAUGUAGAAUGAUUUCAGAGUGAAUUGAGACACUUAGUCUCUUAUUUGGAAGCUUAAGCUAGAAAAUCUGAUCGAAUGUUGACUUAUGGGCGAACGACCUCAAAUAUGAAUUCGAUGGUUUUGUUAGCUCCACUAGGUAAUAUUGGACAUAGGAGCGUGUCGAAUUUUAAUUUGGAGGUCAGUAGUAAAAUUAGGCUUGAAUUGCGAAAAGUAAAAUUUUUGAGAGUUUGACCGGAAGUGGACUUUUUAUAUCGGGGUCAGAUUGGACUUUCGAAAGUUGGAGUAGGUUCGUGGGUGUAAUUUAUGACUUGUGUGCAAAAUUUGAGGUCAAUUAGACGUGGUUUGAUAGGUUUCGACAUCGUUUGUAGAAUUUGGAAGUUUCAAAGUUCAUUAGGCUUGAAUUCCUGUGUCAUCAUGUUUUUGAUGUUGUUUGAGGUGAUUUGAGGAUUUGACUAAGUUCAUAUCGGGUUAUUAGACUUAUUGAUGUGUUUGGAUGAGUUCCCCUGGGGCCUAGGGAUGAUUUUGGGUGGUUAACGGACUUGAAGUUUGAUGUUGAAGGAUGGCUGAAGCUGUGCUAUUUCUUGUGUAACCGCACCUGCUGAGUGGUUACCGUAGGUGCGUUCCCGUAGAAGCGGGAAGAGGGCGCAAAAACGGUCUAGGUGGAGGAAAGUUGGAAUCGCAGGUGCGAAGUCUUUCCCCCACCUACGAGGCAGCAAGUGUGGGUAUUGGGCCACAAAAGCACAUGGGUGCUAGGUGAGGGAGCUUCACAUAAGAGGACGAUCCAUCGCAUAAGCACUUAAGUGAAUUGCAUGUGUUGUUUUACUAGGCAGAACCUAUAAAUAGAAGACUUCAAGAUUUUUUACCAUUUUCAUAUUUUGGAACUCAGAUUUUGGAGGAUUUUGAAGUGAUUACUAAGUUAAGCUCCUUGUGCCCAUUUAUCUUUAAUAAUGAUGUUUAAUGAUGUUUCCCCACUGAUUUUAUACCUACUUUAUGGGUUGUUGGUCCAAGUUCAGGUGAAGGUUUGAAUAAUGACAAAUGAAUUCAGUCAUGGACAGUCCAUCAUGUGAGGCACAAUGUUUAUCAACCUAUACAUGUGAGAUGCACGUGAAGGAGAUAAGUUCCAUUGCUCAAGCAGCAUUAUCUCCUGAACUAAUCGAAAAGAUUGCAUAUUGGAUGAGGAGAGAAAUUCUCCUUAUGUGAAGAUAACACAAUCUGGAGAAAAGAUAGGGUUGGAAUUUGCGUUGUUCAAGGACUCAACUUCGAUGGAAGAUCAUCAAUUGAGUCUCAAUCAAACUUUAAUUACUAACUCAUUAAAUAACAGUGAUUGUUCUCUUUUAGAGGCAUCACACAUACGCAAAAGUUAAACUAAAUUGAGAGAAAAAGAGCAAGACAAUUUUGCAACAAUUUAUAUGAUAUUCGAGUGUGCACUCCUGAAGCUACUUGAACAAGAUAGAAGAACCAGUUCCAUUGUAUUUUUUCUUAUUCUAGUUCAAUUGUAGUCGGUGGUUUAAAGUUGUACCUUCCAGCUUUCAUAGAAGAAUCUAUAGUAGGUACUUUGAGUGUUCAAGUUAUAGGCUAACUUGAAAGUGUCACAACAGUUGAGGUUGUGUGCUACAUAUGGGUUAGAGUUAAUCCUUAGGUUUAAAAAGAGUUUUGUAAAUGCUGUUUUGGCUCAGUGAUUUUAGUGGAAGUUUGGGAAAAUCCCACUAAGUGGUAGGUCGUGGUUUUUUUCACCUUUUGAGCCAGGUGUUUUCGACAUAAAAAUCUCUAUGUUAUUUAUUUUAUAUACUUUUAAUUCCGCAAACAGUAGUAGUUAGAACACCCAGAAGAACCAAGUUCUUCUAGAGAAAAUUUGGGCACCACACAAGUUACCCCCCUCUUAUGGGGUAUUGACGUUUAGAAUAUCAAUUGGUAUUAGAUCGGGUUAUCCUUAAAGAGGUUAACACCAUAGGAAAUGAACAACAUGAGUGCACCACCUAGGAACUGGGAAAGACAAUCCACUGCCAGGCCUCAAAUCUUCAAUGGACAAUACUAUUCUUGGUGGAAGAACAGGAUGAAAGAUCACAUCAUAGGAGAAGACUAUGAACUCUGGGACAUAGUCAUUGAUAGUCCUUUAGCAACUACAAUGAAGAAUGAGUAGGGGGUGGAUGUGCCAAAGACAAGGGUUGAAUGCACUACUGAAGACCUGAAGAAGUGGGAGAAAAAUGCUCUGGCCAAGAAAUGACUUGUGUAUGGACUAGGUCCAGAUGAGUACAAAAGGAUCCAGAGUUGUACUACUAUUAAAGAAAUUUGGGACUUUUUGCAAGUGUCUCAUGAAGGAACACCUCAAGUGAAUAGAUACAGAGGAACACUGCUGUAUUCUCAAUAUGAAAAUUUUACUAUGAAGGAAGGAGAAACUAUUCAAGAGAUGUAUAAUAGGUUCACUACACUGACAAAGGAACUUAAGUCUCUUGAAAGGAUUAUUCUUGAAAACGAUAAGGUUGAGAAAAUUUUGACAAGGAUUCUUCAAGUCUCAUGGAAAAGCAAAAUCACUGCUAUUCAGGAAUCUAAGAACAUUGCCACUCUCAAGCUGGAUGAAUUGAUUGGAAAUUUUACUGCUUAUUUACUGAGAAGGCAAACUAUGAAAAUGGACACACCCAAAAAAGAGAGAAGACUAGCUCUCAGAAUUUAAGGUUCAGAUCUGGAUGAUGAUGAGAUGGCUAUGAUCACUAGAGAUUUCAAAAAGUACCUGAUGAGAGGAAAGGGUUCUUCAAGAGGUACAACCUUCAACAAGCCAAGGGUUCAUGAGAAACAGAUCAAUGAGGGGUGCUCCAAGUGUGUUAAGACUGAUCACAUGAUCAAGAAAUGCCCUCAAUGGGAAAUUGAGUGGAAGAAGGAAAGGGUUGAACGAAGUAACAAGAAUAAGGAACAUGUUCAACCAAAAAGGAACAAAGGAUCAACAAAGGCUAUGGUUGCUGCCUGGGAGAAAUAUCAAAUGAGGAUUCAGAAGGUGAAGCUGAAGAAUAACAUGCUCUUAUGGACAUUGGAGAAUCAGAUGAUGAACGAGAGGUAAGCAUUCUUCAUCUCAAAGACAAGAUUAAAUUUCUAUCGAAAGAAAGGUUAUCUGAGUUGUUACUAUACUUUAUUGAUGAGUUUGAAAUAAUCAACAAUGAAAAGGAAGAACUAUAUAGGGAAUGUGUGAUCCUAAAAGCAAGAUGCAAAAGUCUAGAGUUUAGGGCUAAUAAGAGUGUUGUAGAAAUACUGAGUUGAAGAGCCAGGUUAUUGAACUUGACACUAGUGUCCGAGAACUUAGGUCUAAAAAUCUAAAACUGAAACUAGGAGCAGAAAAGAAGAAAGCUGAUCUCACUCUGGAAGAAAACUUAGGAAAAAGAAAGGAUGAAUUGUAUAAGAAGGAUGAAUUGAUUAAAGUCUUAAAAGAAGGUCUAGGAAAAGUGAAACAUGAACUAGACAGAACUUGCAAAUGGAACAGGGCUUUUUAUGCACUUUCUUAGUUGCAAGAGCAUCACAGAAGCAAUAAAAGAGGAUUUGGCUAUGAGACUCAAGCACCAAAAUAGGAUACCAAAAGCAAGUACCUCACACUUCCUGAGAAUAAGAUCUGCACCCACUGUGGCAAGACUGGUCAUUUAUAAAAAUGAAUGUGAUGCAAACGAAAAGGACAGUCAAAAGAACAAAAAAUUUGUUCAAGAAAAGAACAAGUUGCCUGGGUGGGCUAGAAGAAAUCUGAUUUAUCCCUUUGCCCAUAGAAAGUGACCGAAACUAGUUUGGGUUUCUAAGAUUAACCCUUGAUUUCAUUUUGUAGGUCCAAGUGAAAGGAAAUAACCAAAUAUAGUACAUGAAUAGUGGUUGCUCAAAACAUAUAACUGGGAGCAAGGACCAGUUCCUUACAUUUGAAGACUUAAAAUGAGGUAAUGUAUCCUUUGCUAAUGGAAAUAAAGGUGAGAUAAUUGGGGUUGGAAAGAUAGGUAAGACAGACUCUUACUCCAAUGAGAAAGUCUACUUGAUAUAUGGCUUGAAAUAUAGCCUGAUCUGUGUGUCACAAUUGUGUGACAGAGGUAAUCUUGUAACAUUCACCUCUACUAAAUUCUUUGUGAUUAAUCUUACCACUGACAAGAUUGUGUUGCAGAGAAAUAUAUUUAACAAUAUUUACAUUGUAGAUUUCUAUUCUCUCAUAAAAUGAACUCACUUGCCUAAGUGUAAUGGUUAAUGAUCCCCUCACGUGGCACAAAAGACUUGGUCAUGCAAGUCUAAAUCAGUUAAAUAAACUAGUCUCUAAGGACUUGGUGAUAGGGUUACCCAAUAUCAAGUUCAACGAAGACAAAGUUCGUGAGGCAUGUGCAAGGGGGGAACAUGUAAGAUCAUCCUUAAAAAGCAAGAAAAUGGUAAGUACAACCAAUUCGUUGGAACUGGUCCAUAUGGAUCUAUGUGGUCCAAUGAGAACCAUGAGCAGACGUGGAAAGAAAUAUAUAAUGGUGCUUGUUGAUGAUUAUUCUCGAUUUACAUGGGUUCUAUUUCUAACUUCCAAAGAUUAAGCAGUUGACAUGUUCAUUGCAUUUGUUAGAAAAGCUCAGAAACAAUAAGGAAAUCAACUUUCAUCCAUUAGGUCUGAUCAUGGAACUAAAUUUGAAAAUUCCAAGUUUGCUGAAUUCUUUAAUGAAAGUGGUAUAGGUCAUAAUUUCUCUGCACCUAGGGAUCUUCAACAAAAUGGGGUAGUUGAAAGGAAGAAUUGGACUCUUGAGGACAUGGCUAGAACCGUACUGCUUUUUAGUAAAUUGCCCCAUAGCUUCUGGGCAGGGGUUGUAAACACUGCAUAUUACAUAGUCAAUAGAUGUAUGACUAGAUCUCUGGUAGAGAAGAUUCCCUAUGAGUUACUUAGAGGGAGAAAACCAAACAUAUCUCAUCAUAGGGAAUUUGGUUGCAAGUGCUAUGUGCAUAAUAAUGGAAAAGACUUCUUAGGCAAGUUUGAUCCCAGAAGUGAUGAUGGAGUAUUCUUGGGAUAUUAUUCAUAUAGCAAAGGAUAUAAAGUGUUUAAGAAAAUAUCUUUGUGUGUAGAAGAAAGUGUACAUGUAGUAUUUAUGAAACUAACAUUCUUUCUGAGAGACAGGAACAUGAAGGUGAAGCCAUUGAAUUUGUAAAAGGCUUGACUGAAGCCUCAACACAAGUCAAAGUGGGACCAAUAGAAGGAACAUGUUCUUCAACCUAGUGCAACAUGACAGGGGGAACUAAUCAAAGAUGAAUCGAAAUAAAUCCCUUAAAGUAACCUGUUCAUGAGCAUGUUCCUCAGCAACAGAGCACGGGAGAAACAUCUAGCAGAAACAAAUUGGUUGUGAAACCUCAUAAGUAUCAAUGUUCUCAUCCCAUUGAGAACAUUAUUAAUGAUCCAACAUCUGGAGUUAAAACUAUAUUACAAUUAAAGAAUAUGUGUGCUUUUGAUGCCUUUUUGUCUCUUAUUGAACCUAAAAAUAUUAUUUAGGCUUUGCAGGAUACAGAUUGGGUGAUUGCUAUGCAAGAUGAACUCAACCAGUUUGAAAGAAGUCAAGUUUGGCAUCUAGUUCCAAGACCCAAGGACACAUCAGUCAUUGGUACAAAAUGGGUCUUCAGAAACAAACUUGAUAAAGAUGGAACAGUUACAAGAAACAAGGCAAGAUUAGUGGUCCAAGGCUACAACCAAGAGAAAGGCAUGAACUAUGAUGAGAAUUUUUGCAAGACUAGAGGCAAUCAAACUCAUUAUAGCCUUUGUAGCAUACAUGAAAUUCACUCUUCAUCAAAUGGAUGUCAAAAGUGCCUUCUUGAAUGGGUACCUGAAAGAAGAUGUUUUUGAAAAACAACCUCCAGGGUUUGAGGAAGAUGUUUUUGAAAAACAACCUCCAGGGUUUGAGGGCAAGGAAUGUCCUGAGCAUGUGUACAAGUUAGACAAGGGUCUCUAUGGGCUCAAGAAAACACCAAUAUCAUGGUAUGAAAGAUUGUCCAAAUUUCUGCUGGAGCAUGGUUACAAAAGAGGUAAAAUUAAUAGUACCUUAUUCUUAAGGGAAAAGGUAAGGAUCUGCUUGUUGUGCAAAUAUAUGUCGAUGACAUAAUCUUUGGGGCCACCAGUGAUAAGCUGAGUAAGGACUUUGCAAAAUUAAUGGGGAAUGGGUUCGAAAUGAGCAUGAUGGGUGAGCUUAACUUCUUCUUAGGCUUAUAAAUCAAACAAAGUACAAAUGGAACCAUGACCCACCAACAGAAUUAUGCAAUAAGCUAAUCAAAAAGUUUAAAAUGGAAGAAUCAAAGAAAUAGAUACACCCAUUGCAACUGCUACUACAUUAGAUAUUGAUGAACCCGGCUCAUUAGUUGAUCAAAAGUUGUAUAGGGGGAUGAUUGGUUCACUUCUGUAUCUUAUUGCCAGCAGACUUGACAUUGUUUUCAGUGUAGAGUUUUGUGCUCACUUUCAGGCCAACCUAAAAGAGUCUCACCUGACUGCUGUCAAGAGGAUACUAAGAUAUCUGAAAGACACCAUUGAUCUGUGUCUUUGGUACCCCAAAGGUAGUAAUUUCAAUCUAGUAGGAUAUUCUGAUGUUGAUUAUGCAGGUUUCCUAGUGGAUAUGAAAAUCAACUCAGGUAUGACACACUUCCCUGGUUCAUGUAUUGUGUCAUAGGCUACUAGAAAGCAAAAUCUAGUGGUCCUAUCUAUUGUUGAUGCUGAGUAUGUUGAUCCGGCCUCUUAUUAUGCUCAAUUGCUAUUGAUCAAAUAACAGUUGGUAGAUUUUGGCAUUGAAGUUGGUUGUGUUCCUAUAUUCUGUGAUAACGCUAGUGCUGUAAGUAUGACAAAGAACCAUGUUCAUUAUAAGAGGACUAAGCACAUAGAUGUUAGACACCACUUCUUAAGAGAUAACUAUGAGAAAGGAUUGAUCUCUAUAGAAUUUUGUGCUACUGAGAAAUAAAUUGUUGACAUCUUCAUUGAAGCACUUAGUAGAGAAAACUUUGAGAGGAACAAGUUAGAAUUAGGGAUGAUUAAGAUCACCCUAAAGGGCCCAGCUUAGAAUGCACAAUGAAAAAAAACUAUGGCUAGGAAUUCUAACCCUAUGUAAACAAUAGGAUUAAUUCUUACUUAGUUUCAUACUUUAAUUAGUAUACUUUUGUGACAUGUGUAUAUAUGACUCACUGAUCUCUUAUAAAAAAAAAUUAUUAUGACAUUUGAGGCGUGUUCAAGAGAGUUCUAUAUGAAGAACAUGGUUCAUCAGUAUGUGUUCAUAUGAAAGCUCAAUAUAGUUUCAUACUUUAAUUAGUAUACUCCUCUGACAUAUGUAUAUAUGACUGACUGUUCUCUUACAAAGUUUUUUCUAUUAUGGCAUUUGAGGCAUGUUCAAGAGAGUUCAAUAUGAAGAACCUGAUUCAUCAGUAUGUGUUCAUAUGAAAGCUCAGGUAUAUUUUUUAUACUUUGCACAAUUAGAAAGAUCAAUUGUCCAAUUAUGCGCAGAAGUCCUACACUCGUCUAACUCCUAAAAAUUCUAUCUGUUGAGCACUGAACCAGUUCCAUUCUACUAGAACUCUAAAAUUCGGGAUUUUUGCCUAAAAUCUAGGGAACCCUAAUAUUCAUUAGACUGGAAUUACACCUUGACUAGACCUCUAAUUAACUCCUGAAAAGUAAUUGUUACUGCAUUUAUGUCUAAUUGUCUUUAAAUACACACCAUACCUCUUCUUCGUAAUUCCAUAAUCGUUAAAAUAUUUCUCCAAUUAUGAUCGCCUUUCUUCUCCGAAAAUCCCCAAAUUCUAACAAGAAACAAUCAACCAUGUCUAACCCACAAAAUAAUCCCUGCACUCCCCUACCAACAUCUCCCUCUAAUUCAUCCUCAUCUACUCCUCCUAGUGAAUCCCCAAAGCCUAGGUCUCGAAGGAAAAAUAUGUUGGAUAGAAAAUAUGUCACCUCUGGAGAAUUAAUGAAGGUUUGAAACAAGAAAUUGAAAGCUAGCAAGUCUAAAUAAAGCUCAAUUCAAUAAUCCGACUCUAGUUCUAAGUCACACUCGUUUAAGUAUGCUAGUGAAGGUGAAGAACAUGGGCCUUCUAACACUGAGAAAAUUCAAGAAACACAUGCUGAGGUAAGUUCUUCUAUGG